This 54225-nucleotide long non-coding RNA is filed under the name Brassica rapa (field mustard). RNAcentral's name for it is "long non-coding RNA (BRAP_LNC000769)". The record is from RNAcentral. Lineage: Eukaryota; Viridiplantae; Streptophyta; Magnoliopsida; Brassicales; Brassicaceae.
CAAAAGUCAAAACAAACGGGGUGAGUUUGUAGAUCUGGAAAAAGGGAUUAGAAGAAUCGAUAAUACUAUACAGAAAAACGAUUAUCAGACGAUCACAAAAAUAAAAGAAGAAAAACGAUUGAGUUGUAAGAUUCGUCCUCUGUAUCAGACUAAAUCUUAACUCUCUGACAAAAAAGCAAAAGGAGAGAAAGUACACAUAUUACAUAUAUAUAGACAAAAAGUGGGAAUUAGGGUUUCGGUGUAACAAAAACUGGGCCAGAUUUUUAUAAUAGGUCCAGUGAAAGCCCUAAAUAUCACUAUAUAGUCCAACCCUACACGUAUAGUAAUUAAUUUCUUUAAAAAAAAAGGCAUUCUUUUUUUUUUAACUGGCUUUCAUAUUAAAACAGAGAAGAAGGUUACAGAGUUUAACAUGAGAAACAGAAACAAUAAAACAAAACAGCUGAGAAAUAAGAAAAACAAAGACUCUAAAUCCGAUUUGAAACAGCCCUAGAAGGGGAUAAACAGAGGCUCACAAGAAAGACCCAAGUAAAAUGGUACGACAAACAGCAGACAGCUCUAAAAUGGUUUGACACACAGACAAGUUGAACAUGCAACUCCGGGUCUUACAUCCUAAUGUCGUCACGCUGCUGUUAAUCCUGAGAGGAGCUGGAGCUACCUCACUCAAGUCCAUACUUGAAAAACCUCUGACGAAUAAGCACACAGAAGGAGAGGGGCUUCAUACCUGAAGGGCACGAGACACAGGCAAACCCACUGGACGAAAAACGGGCGUUAAGGAAAGCUGCUUGAUGAAAGAGACUACAAAACCUGCACUGAGAGGAACAAGACUGUAUCUGCCAAGGGCAAUCAAAUGAGGCACCUCGACACUGGGAUGAUACAUCCUUAAUCGCGCCGUCCAGGAGGAGAAAAACGGGGCUCCAUGACCACGAACCCGAUAAGACACCACCCACGAUACUUCUCUUAGAACAAGAGAGAGUUUCCUCACAUGAAAAGGGGACAGUCGAGACAGAAUGAAUGACCACGAAGAUGAAGAACAAGAUCCUGAAAAACCAAGAAACCCAGAAAGCUCACAGCCAGGAGACGGGCACUCAAACACCAAUGCCGUGAACCGGAGAGGACAAAGAAGGAGCAGCUUGACGAGACAGUUGACGCCUAAGUACCAGACACCUCCACGUGCCUAAAACCAUCCUUUAAGCUACACGCGCCGCCGGGAGAAUACACCUGACACCGCCAAGAUUUUCAACACCGUCGCGCACCAAGCGAGCAAAACCCACGAAGUCCAACUUGGGGAUGAUUGAAGAAGCUGCUACCCCCGAGACACCAAGGGAGAGAGCAAUACCCCACGACCACCUCCCCCUGCUGACACAGACCGGUGAAUCAGAUCUGCCACAAAAGAGCCUACUCCAGAGAUCACGCGCCAUCAGAACCAGCUAAGGAUAGAUCUCACCAAAUAGAUCUAAAAUGAAAGAUCUGAACACCUAGCCACCCAAAAAGCCGACUCCGCAGCCUGUCGCGCCUCCACGAACCUCACCGUCCCACCAAGGCAACUGGUGACUACAGAUCUGGAGAAACCGCCAUGGUCGGACCCCAAUUCCGUCUUCAGACAUGAAACCUCAGGAUUUCAGUAUAUCAGCAAGGGAGAGGAGACAGAGAAGCGAAGCAAACAGAAAACAAGAGAGGGAAGGAAGAGAACUCGAUGCUGGCGGCGAGCCGCCUACGCCGGUGACAACGAUGGAUUUCUUUUUCUUUUUUAGAGAGAGGCGAGAGGCUUUUCUGAGCUGUCUAAAUCCCUUAUAUAUUAAUUGAGGAACAUUUCAAAAGAUAUAACCUCAAUUUUGUAUUAAUUAAAAGAAGCCCCAAUGCAUAGGUGGCACUCAAUUAGGUAGUCAAUUACAUUCAAUUGAAAAAUAAGUAGGUCCACAUUCGAUUUUUAUAUGUUGUUAGAUACAUAAGUUGGUCAAACUAUAUGAUAUAAUGAUAUGAUAUGAUAUUUUCUUUCCUUAAAUAAAACCUACGGAAUUACCAUAAAUGACUAAUAUAUAUAUGACAAUUAAUGAGUUUAAUAAUAAAGAUUUGAUAACAAUGUAUAUCUCCUCCAUCAUUUUUGUUUAAUUUUAUAUUAUUAAAAUAAAUUAAACAAUCAAAUUAGCUAUAAAAAUAAAAUUUAGAUUUUUUCGUAUAUGUUAUAUUUUGAAUUUUUAAAAACGACAAUAAAUGACUAAAACUAUUAAAAUUAUUAUGUUAAAAAUUAAUGAUCAAUGGUUUAACAUUUUUAUUAUAAGAAGAUACACAUGAUUUUAAAACCAUAUGAGUAAAAAAUAUCAUUUAAUAAAAAAUAAAUAUAUAUAUAUAUAUAUAUUAAACACUAUAUACCAUAAGAUUACAUAAAUAUUUUAAUAUUAAAACUUUCAAUGAAUUUGCAAGAACAUUUAUAAAUUAUAAACUUAUUAAAGAUUUCAGAUUGAAAAUUUUGUUAUCGAUGAUUUAAAUAUUUUGUUAUAAAACGAUAUGAAUGAUCAUAGAACCGUAUGAUUAUAAAUUCUUAUUUAAUAAAUAACUAUACAAAAUAUACUAUUCUAGAAAAAUAGGUUGGUCCAUCUUAACUUAUAUUGCACUUUUUAUUAAACUAACUAUCGAAUUGAUAAAUAACGUACCAAAAAAUGUUUUGCACUUUCCAUUAAAUAAAAGCUACGAAAUUACCUAAUAUGAUUAACGUAUAUGUGAAAAUUAAUUAUAAUGAAUAAUAAAUAUUUGAUAACAAUUUUUGUAUCUUAGUUCUUUUUUUAAUUUUAUAUUAUUAAAAUAUAUUUAAAAAUCACAUUAAAUAUAUAAUAAAAAACAUUUAUAAUUUUUUUAUAUGUUAUAUUUUGAAUUUUUCAAAACGUCUAUAAAUUAUUAGAAAUUUGAAGAUCCCCACUCUGAAAAUUUUGUGAUCAAUAGAUUAUUUUUUUUUGUCAUAAUAAGUUACAAAUGAUCAUAAAAUUGUAUUAAUAUGAACUUUUAUUUAAUAUUAUAAGAAGAUACACAUUAUUUUACACCAUAUGAGUAAAAAAUAUCAUUUAAUAAUAAAACAUAUAUAUUUAUAUAUAUAUAUAUAGAUUAUACUAUAUACCAUAAGAUUACAUAAAUAUUUUAAUAUUAAAACUUUCAAUGAAUUUUCAAAAACAUUUAUAAAUUAUAAACUUAUUAAAGAUGUCACAUUGAAAAUUUUAUUAUCGACGAUUUAAAUAUUCAGUUAUAAAAUGAUAUGAAUGAUCAUAGAACUGUAUGAUUAUAAAUUCUCAUUUAAUAAAUGACUAUAUAAAAUAUACUAUUCUUAGAAAAAUAGGUUGGUCCAUCUUGACUUACAUUAUAUUUUGUAUUAAACUAACUAUCGAAUUGAUAAAUAAUCUACCAAAAGUUUUUUUGCACUUUCCUUAAUUAGAAGCUACGGAAUUACUUAAUAUGAUUAACGUAUAUAUGAAAAUUAAUUAUUAUGAAUAAUAAAUAUUUGAUAACAAUUUUGGUAUCUUAGUUCUUUUUUUUUUAAUUUUAUAUUAUUGAAAGAUAUUAAAAAAUCACAUUAAAUAUAUAAUAAAAACAUUUAUAUUUUUUCUUAUAUGUUAUAUUUGAAUUUUUCAAAACGUCUAUAUAUUAUUAGAAAUUUGAAUAUUCCCACUCUGAAAAUUUUGUGAUCAAUAGAUUAUUUUUUUGUUAUAAUAAGUUACAAAUGAUCAUAAAAUAUAACGCAUAUGAAUUUUUAUUUAAUAAAUAUUCAAACUAAAUAAUAUAUAUAUAUAUAUAUAUAUAUAUAUAUAAACACUAAUGAUUUAAAACAACAAGAUUGGCUGAUCAAUUUAGUAGUCCAGUUGAAAUCUUUCAAAAGUAUGUGAAAGACUAAAGUCAAAGUAAAUAUGGAUUUAGAAUAGUAGUUAUAUUUUACUAACCAAAUACCGAAAAAAACCGAACCGAACCGAAACCAACCCGAUAUCCGGAUUGAACACCCGUAAUCCAAAUGAAGCCAAACUAUUGUUUCAUUCUCCAAAAUAUAAUAAAAAUAAUAACUUAAUUCCGCGCAAGGCGCGGGUCUUAUCCUAGUGUAUCGUUAAAAAAAAAGGCAUUCAACACGUAUAGUAAUAAUUAAUGAAAAACGUUCCCUAAAUUAUUGCGUGAAUCUUAGAUUUUGGUUGACAAAUUAUUCAUAUCCCAAAUUGGACAAAUAUUGAAAAACGUUCUCAAUUAAUCCCUAAAUUAUUGCUCACAUAAUCGUAGUCGACGAUCUAUUUCUAUAUAUUUUCCUUAUUUGCACCAUAUUCAUUUCCGUCUUCACUAAUUUCGGGAUAACAAUCAUGUGAGCAUAUAGAAAGUGCAAAACACUCAACCAAUCACGUGCGCCCUCAAUAAAAUUUAUGCUUGAAAAAAUUUCGCCUACAAUUUGAUCAUAUUAGUUUCCUUAUAUGUCCCAAGUAAUCACAUCAAUUCAAAAUAUGAACCUACUGAAUUUUCAAAAUCAUUGUCAUCUAGCUCUUAGUGGUAAAACGGAUCUAUGCUAUCAUUUUCUAAGCAGCAGUAUCACGUAAGAGAUUGACCGUGGUUAAUUAUGGAUAUAAUUUAGGUGUCUACCAAAUAACCCAAAUUAAUAUCUUGCUACGCAUCAUAUAUAUAGAAUUUGCAAUUCUAACAUAAUGCCUGUAACUUACAAUUUGAAUAAUAAAAAUAUACAAAUACGAUAUAUUUAUAUACAAAUUUAUAAUUUAUUUAUAUAUUAUAUCACUGAUCCUUUUAUGAUACUUUGUUUUUAUUUACUAUUAAUAAAUCAUGGAAAAUAUGACUAUUUAUUUUUAAAACAAUUUCAUGUCAUAAAUUUAGCAAAUGGAUAUUCAAAUCAUUUUAGGUGACUUUAUGUUUGUUUAGUCAUGUUUAUUAAAUAUUUUUUUGUCAUCUUAUAAAUUAAUUAAUAAUAUUAUACAUUAAUAUAUCUAAAUCGGUCUUUUGUCAUAUUUUUAUAUUUGUUUGCUUAAUCAAUAUAACAUGAAUUAUUUUUUUUCAUGUAUAUUAGUUAGUUAUUUCAAAUUUAAGUUUUAGAUUAAUGAAUUUAAAAAUCGUGUAUGUUUUAUAAACUUUUAUUUGAAAAAAUAAUAAAUGCUAAAACAGGAUCACUCUUAUUUGUUACCCUCAUAAUACCGUAUCCAAUUGUCUGCCCUAUUGACCAAGUAUAUGGAAUUUAUCUUUUUUUUUUUUUUUUACAUAUGGAAUUUAUCUACUGUGUCAAAAGGAGAAGGGUAAAUCAAAAUACGAACAUAGUAACAAUGAUGUAGAAAUAUAAAAUUAUUUAUUCAAUACCAGCUAGGAUUUUCUUCCACCGCCUAAACCUAGCAAACCGGUUGGAUCCAGUGAAAAGAACUUCGUUAUCGUGACCACAGCCCAAAGCGACGUCGUUCACCUAACCUUCCUGUUGGUUUCAAACGUCACCGAAGGUGAAAGAUCCGUAACUUGGUAGAGACAUUUGUCUGGGCGACAAGCGGAGACUUCUAGAUUAGCGCACUGUGGAAGUGAAAGAUCUGAACGUCCGGGUCGGAUUGUUGGUAACAGUCGGAGCAAGGUUGGCAUUGGAUCCAGUUAAUACUUAAUACCCUUUAUGAUGAGAAAAAUAAAAAAGAAAUUGCUGUGGUUAUAAAAGCUACGUACGUCAAUAAUCUAAUUGCAUUAACAUGUUUCUCACUGAGGAUAAGGAAGAGCCUCUGAUCAACAUGUUUCUCACUGAGGAGAUAAGAAAGUACAUUACCCCCAAGGAGAAUCUUGUUGGGAAGAAGAUAAACAUAUGUUUGGAACAGAGAGAGUUUACAACACUGUGAAGAUGGAGCUAGAGACGUACAUGGACUAUGCGAUGAUGAUUGGAACUUAGCACAAAACCUUAUAGUCAACAGGUGUGACCCGUUUGCCUACAAGCCGGUGCUUAACAAGAGCUUCCUGAUGAUAGAAACGUAAGGUGGGGAAACAACUUUCUAUGUUUUGUAAUCCAUUUGCUUGUCUUUUGCUUUAUUUUGAAACCAAUUGUAACAUUUCCAGUUAUGUUUGACUUUAACUAGUUGAGUUGAAAGUGGCCAAAAAGGACAUUCAUGGAAUAUUAUAAUAAAAACCAUAAGCAUCAGAUUUUAAGUUACAGAACCAAUGGUGCAAACUACCAUCAUUCACCUCUAACACCAUUUUCUCAGGUGAUAAUGCCAUCAUCUACUCUAAGUUAAAAACAGAAUGGACUUACCUAAUGAGAAAAAAAAAAAAAAAAAAAAAAAAACACUAACCCAAGUGAAUUGGCAUUUUCAACUUGGUACUAGAGACAUGAUUUGAGUCUUGAUUCGUCCCAUACACAUUUGGAUUUCUCUGUAGAUCGGUAGAUUCUGGGGGCAUCGAGGCUGCAAGCUUGUGACUGCUGUGUCCAUAAGCUGCGCUACAUCAGCUGGAGGGUACUGCCUCUCCGUGCACAUCUGCAAGUCACGAGAAAAGCAAAGUUCAAUGUCUUACUAUGACAAUGCAGUUUGACUCAGUUUUAGGAUGAGUGAUACUUCCAAGCAAUUUUUCCAUUACCUGAAUCAUGAUCCAAGUGGCAACACAGGACGUGAUUAACUCUGAAGGCAUUUGAGCCUCUUUUUUCUCUGAACCAUUUUGUGAGAUCGAAUCGUUGUUAGCCAUAGGCUUUGAUGCGUCUGAGGGAGAUGGGUUGUGAUGAUGAUGCUCAAUGCUGCCACUUGCGUUCUCUUCCUGUUUGACUACUAUAGAGCUGCGUAACGGCUGAUGUUUGCCAAUCAUGUCUAAGGCUUCUUGGAUCAUUUUGAUGGCAUCUUCUCCUUCCUUCACAGAUGAUGCAGCCUAGAACCGUAGAGUGAUAACAAAUCAGCAAAAACAUAUGUAAUGUUACAAGAGAAUAUAUAAAAGUGGCUGAAUCAAUACCGUAAUAGCUGCAUCCACCAUUGCUUUCGCUCUUGUCUUUGAGACCUUGACAAUUUCUAGCAUCUCUGGCUCCAUUUCCUGUCACACAGCACAAAUAUAAGCUAACUAACGUUAAUCAGAAGGUAGAGUUUCCGUGGGCGACACAAUAUCUACAACUAUGAACAAUUCGAGAUCAGUAGUUCAUUACCUUUUCAUCUAAAGCAUGCUGUAGAGCAAGUGCUCGCUGAAUCUCAGCUUCUCGUCCUUUGCUAUAAUCUAUGAUACAUGACUGAUUAGUCUGAUGUGGGAUACUAGUGUCGGUUGAUACUUUACCAUGCAGAAUAGGAGCAUUCAUAUCACCCUGUAGACAAUUAAUGGGUCAGGCAAACAUUUUAAGCAUUUGACUCAGAAAUAGUCAAAUCCAUCUCUCUCUACCUGAUUCAGAGAAUGACUCAUGGAACAGUCAGCAUUUUCAAGUCCAUAUGGAGGGAAAAUAGCAGAUAAACCAAGGUUUGGAUUCCCAUUUUGUUGUGCUUCUUUCUUCAUGGAUAAACACUUAUCAAUCUGCCUCCUUAGACCUUCUGGCAUGUAUUCCAAUGGAUUUGAAGGCAUGCAAUCAAUGUCCUGUUAAGAAAAAAAACAAUGGUUCAACGACUGAGACCUUAUCAUCAAUAUAUAAUAAAAGAUUAAUUACCUUAACUAACUCAACGCCCAAGUCAUCGAACAGAACAUUGCAUUGAUUAUGGUCAACAGUGAGAAUUUUCCCAUCAUGAAUCUCUCGUGUUAUGGGAUGGAUGGCAAUGACUCUGUUACCAACUGCUAAUGGCCGAGCCAAAUCUGUAGGAAGCCCUUCCCUAGCACCAGUUCGAAGCUCUGUGUAAUGCUUUCUCACAGACUCACGGUACUGCUUGAGUUUCUCCCUCUCUUCCUGUAAGAAUCUCUCAGAGAACCUUCGAGCUCUACCAAGAGAGCUACAAAAAAGAAGAGUAAGCUUUAAAAUCUACAAAUGUUCUCUCAAUAACAAAACUUGAACAAACCUUUUAAUGACACUCCAUUCAAGACGAGUGAGUCUUGGAACGUGACCAAGUCCCACGUGAUUUAAGUAAUCGACGAACACCAUCUUUGCAAACCAGGGAUGGUCGAUAGCACUAUAAAACCACUCAAAUAUGCACCUUCGACGUGCCAAGGGAUACGACAUAUAAGUAGAAAGCUCAUCCUGAAAAUUGGAAUUUAAAAAAAUAUCAGAACCAGAGUUUGAAUGCUUUCAUAAGAGAAGUUGAAGUUAGAGGCUACUCCACCUUUAAUAACAACUCCUGUUCUGAAAGAGAUCUGGAACUACGAGGAACUUUAUGAACGGUUUCAGAAGAUUUAGCUCUUUCUUGUAAGCUUUUCUUCAGACUCGCCUUACGCCUGUUUGGAGGUUUCUGUGGUGGUGAAGUGGCUGGACAUGAAUCAGAAUCUUGUUUAGUUGACACUACUACAUCCAUAGCAGAAUGUUUCUUAUCGCUCAUUGUAGUAGAUUCCUCCAACUCCUUAGCAGUUUUCAACUGUUUUGACUGAGAGGGACCUUGACCAGUGCGUUUUGUUCUAAGAUAGGACUUCAUAUUAUGGUUUUCUUGAGCUAACUCCUGUCACACAAUAAACCAAAUUAUAUGUCAAGGAUCUCUAACUUGAUUCAAAGGAUAGUAAUCACAGAUCACAGAGCCUAACUAAGAUUAAAAUUUAAUGUACAAAUGAAGCAAUAUAGAGAUACCUUUUUGUUUAUGGAUUUGUUCUGAGAAGAAUCAGGUGGUGAUUCAUCUCCUAGCUUCUGAAAAUUAAAAACAAUUCAUAUGUUAAGCUAAAAAGAUGAAAAAGAAAAGGAGAUUAAAAGAAUUAUCUUGCUACCUUUGGUUUGCGUUUUCUUCUUAAACUAGCACUAGUAGGUUCCGGCUGUAGCUUCCCAGCAUUACAAUCAGUUGAAGCUUGCGUUGAAGGUUUUGGUUUUCUAUUGUAAACAGCAUUCCCAAUAGCAGAGAUUGCAUGUAGCAGACUCUCAUCUGGUUCUGAAUUUGCUUUUUCCCCAUGACUGCUGGUGGACGUGGUAGCUUCCGGUGAGCUAGGUUUCUCGUCCAUGUCGUUUUCUAUUCUCUCUUCCUUCACCUGAGGAGAUGAUUCUGCAACCCAACGCAAUAUAGUAAAAUUAAUAAAAAGUAAUGGCAGGCUCUUCUUUUUUAACCCAAUCUACAUACUCAUUGCCAAAAUAUAGAAGGAAAAAAACAUAAAAAUUCAGGUAUAUUCAACCAAACAUAGCUCACCUGAUUCCAUCAAUGCUGAAGGAAGAAAUGAAGCUGAUAAUUCAGCUAAAGCUUGCAGAGCAUCAAAUUCAUCUACACAUGAAAAAUACAGGCAAUAAGUUUCAGACUCUGAAGAAGACGGUGAUACUUAUUUUAAAAUGGGCAAUGCAGGACUAAUAAAUAUUCAAAUCUCACAAUAGUAAAGCUGUAAACGAAAAAAUAUGUAAGAGCCUAUAAUAGAUGAUAACUACUUCCAGCUUUCCUGAUAGAAAGAGAUAACCAGUGUUCUAAAAAUCAGAUUUUUUCAACUUCAACAAUUGAUCAGACUCCUACUAAAUAAUAAUUCUCUAUAAAGGCCUAACAACCUUUAGCGAUUUCUAGAACAUUGGGGAUAACACUGGAACAUAUUUUUGGAAGUUGUAAUGAGGCAUCAAGUUAAACUAUUACUGGUUAUUACCUCCGGAAGUAAGUUUGUUAUCUAUGUUCUUUGGGCUGCGCGGUGAAUAUGUCCCUCUUGAGGCUUCACGACCAGCCUUUCGUCUCUUUGAUUUAACUCUGAGCCCCUCAGUAGCACUGCUUGCUCCUCCGUUGUCAUCAGAAGAAUCACCCUCUGCUUCUUCGACUUUUACUCUCUUCUUGUAGACCCUUUUCCCCUUCCGUGGAACCUCCAUUUCCCCAACCUCUUCCAUAUCAGAUUCACGCUUCUUUUCUCGGCUACUUCCCACCCAUGAUUGAGCUUUCCUCGUCCGUGACUAGUCAAUGCACAAAGUUAAGUUCAGUAAAUCAAGAUUUGGCAGAAAAAUAAAUAAAAGGAUAACUGCUCAGGAGUUACCAUUUUCUCCCAGUUCUUUAUUGGUGAGUUGUCGCUGAGGUCUUUUGGAGACCCUCCUCCCCUUCUGGAUGCUUCUAUUAAUGCUAACUCUAAAUAACGCUCAACAUCAUCAUUGGCAUCACGUUGUUGCUUUCUGGCUCUUUUAUUUGGUGGAGUAGAGCCUUCCCCAUCAUCCCGUGAAGUCUGUACAGGAACACGAGGUGUACGUUUGCCAGUGGCACGUCGAUGAGUUCCUACAUGAAUUACCAAUCAAAUUUACACAUUCUUGAACGUAUUGAUUUGGCUUCUUCAGAAGAGAAUAAUAUUUAGGAGAAUGAUGAGUUAGGCACUUUACCAUUACCUCGUGCUUGCUUCAAAAACUUGAGACAUCCGUCAGUGGAGGACGCAACUGGAUGAUCUCUAUCAACUUCCUCUCGAGAAUCACUAAGCUGAGGCUUUGCACGUUUGCGCUUUUUCUCUUUCUUCGGUGUUUCUGAAACAUCAGGGCCUUCUCCUUCACUGCCACUCCCUUCCUAGAAGAAAAUACCAUUAGAAUGGGAUACAAACCAGUCCACAGAACUUUCUUAAAUACAAAAACUGACCCCAACAGAUUAGCCACUCAUAGUUGUUUUACUCAUGUUUUAAAGUCUCACGUUAAUAACUAGAGGUUAACAAACCACAUUUUCAACCGGAAGAUUUCAUUUUAUCAUUGGUGUGCCAGGCAGCACGUAGUUAAAUAGAGUUCUCACCAUGACACUGUAAUGAUCGGUCAUCAUAGCAAUAAGGCCAGCUACAGAGGCAGUUCCUUCCGGAAGAGACAAAUAUGCCUGGAAGAAGAAGAAGCCAAGUUAUAUAGUUUUCACAUCAAAUACUAAUUAAAACUGAGAUACAAGAUUGUCUUGAAUCAUACCUUAUUCAUAUUAAAGAGAGCUUCCACCAUCUCAACAUUCCUGCUAUUCCGAAUAGCAGCAGCCACCUGGACAAAAAAAAAAAAAAAAACAGUCUUAAAGAACUCUAAUGCCAACUCAUGUGAUGUGAAAUAGAGACAGUUGAUUUUACCUUUCUCCAGUCCUGUCCGUACUUCCGGUAAGAGUCAUAGAACCGCUCAAGCUCUGCUUUGGUCCAUUGAGAUCCCAGCUUAUCAGACAAUUUCUUCUUCUAAACAAUAAGCAAAAAAAAAGGAUAGUUAAUACAUCACAGAGUAGUAGUAACACAACUGAUUAAAAAAUGUCAAGAAGAAUACUCACACGCAGCUUAUUCUCUCUAGAGCUCCUCUUUGGCGAGGGUUGUUCAUUAGUGAAACGCUUGUUCACACUCCUCGACUUCCUAACCGUCGGUGCCAUUUCUCUGAAACAAAGAUUCUCAAAAUAUAUUUAUAAAAAAAAAAAGACAACUUUACGAGACUAAAUCGAUAAUUAUUCACAAAGUCAGAAGCUUUGAGCAAGAUUUCGAGGAAACGAGUUGAGAAAUUUAAAAUUGAAACUCAAAAAAAUCGAAUCGAAACUCCUCAAAAUCUGAAACCGAUUCGCUCAGAAGAAGAAAAAAAACUACAAAAGGAAGUAGAUUCAAAACGACGUAGCUUUGGAGUGAAUAACUUAGACACGAGUGUAGAGAAUUCAAAACGGAAGAAAAAAGGAAAAACCUUUGAAAAACCCUAAAUCGAAGCAGAUCCAGUGACGAUUCACUUACCAGUUCCGUGUUAAUAGACGCCGAAACACAUAGAGAGAGAGAGAGAGCGCGAGACGAAGCAGGAGGUUUGAGAGCCUUUUGUUUCAAAAAGAGAGAUCGAUUAUAAAUUUCAAAUCGAGGGUUUUUGGAGAGAUAAGUAAUUAUUAAAAAAAAAAAAAAAAGGAGAGAGAGUGAUUGAUAUAAGGUGUUGCCGCGAAACUUGAACAGCCAAUAAGAACUCCCCCUACUCGUCAUUUUCAUCUUUUUUUCUCUUCCUUUAUUUUGUUUCUUGUGCAAUGUCUAAUACGAAGCCCAAUUUCAAAUUUAUGACAUAAAGGCCCAUCUUUAAUGUUCAAUACCCAACCUGAAGUUUGAGAGAACGUGUCUCCGCCACCCUUUGACCAUGUGGCUCCGCCACUGUGUGAAACCAAAAAUCUCUGUGAAGAAGAGAAUGUGUGGUGGGCUAAAAUAUAUAUAUAAGGUUGAAGGAAUGAGUCAAUAUUGGUUUAUGUGGACUAAGUCUAUGGCAAAUGGCACAAAGUACAAACCAUGGACCUUAUAGAAGUUUAAAGAUUUUGAACAAAUAAGCUCCAUAUGAUUUGAUGCAAGACUUGCAAAAGUCAAAUAAAAUCUUGACUUUUUUUUAUGAGAAUCAUAACUUGUUACUUACCACACAAAACGCAAACAAACCAAAAAAAAAUGGCAAUGAUGAUUCCAAGCCAAUCUUAUAGCUAUUCUUGUAUUGUAAUUUCCUUGUAUUAUUCCCUCUUCUUGAUUUCCUUCGUUCUACAUACUCUUGCUUCUCCUACGCUCCAUCAUUGCCAUCACAGCCAGAGAGAUGCUCUUCUCGAGUUCAAAAACGAGUUUCAUUCAGAUGCAGCGUUGCAUUCAUGGAACAAGAGUAGAGAUUGCUGUUCUUGGAGAGGUGUCACGUGCGAUGCUAAAUCUGGAAAGGUGAAUUCGCUUUACCUUGAUACCAUCUCUUUAAACAACUCUUUGAAACCAAAUAGUGGUCUUUUCAAACUUCAUCAUCUUCAUAACCUAUCCCUUAGAAACUGUAGUCUCCAUGGAGAGAUUCCUUCUUCAUUAGGAAACUUUUUACAACUCACACUUCUUGACCUUUCCCAUAAUUAUUUAGUAGGUCAAAUUCCACUUUCAAUAGGGAACCUUUCUAGUCUCAUAGUUCUUGAUCUUUGGGGUAACAAUUUAGUAGGUCAAGUUCCAGUUUCACUAGGAAACCUAACCCAACUAAGAUACUUGAUCCUCUCCCACAACAAACUAAAUGGCAAUAUUCCUGUUUCAUUUGCCAAUUUAACAAAGCUAUGUGAACUAUAUCUUCAAAACAAUUCCUUGGGCUCCACGCUUCCUGACAUGAGUGGAUUACACAACUUAGAGUAUUUUGAUGUAAGUGAAAAUUCAUUUAUUGGACCUUUUCCCACAUCUUUAUUCACAAUACCUUCUCUAAUAUCUGUUAACUUGGAGAGAAACCAAUUUAAAGGAGCUAUCAAGUUUAGGAAUAUGUCUUCAUCAUCUAGGUUUAAGUUUCUAAACUUUGCUCAAAACAACUUAGAUGGUCCAAUCCCUGAACUGAUAUCUCAAUGCCAUAACCUAGAAGAGUUACAUCUUAGUUACAACAAUCUCAAUGGGUCAAUACCAAAGUCUCUAUCAAAAUUAUUCAAACUCGAAUACUUUUGUCUUACCAACAACAACAUGGAAGGGGAAGUACCAAGUUGGAUAAGGAGAUUGACUAUGGUGGCAUUUUCUAACAACUCUUUCAACAGUUUUGGAACAUCAUCACAAGUUCUAGAUAAAACACAAGUCAAGUGGUUGGAUCUUAGCUCAAAUGCUCUCCAAGGACCGUUGCCUCGUUGGAUCUGCAAGCUUACAUCAAUAGAGAUCUUGAUCUUGUCCAACAAUCUACUCAACGGCUCAAUCCCUCCAUGUUUAAAGAACUCCACAACUUCUCUUACAGAUUUGGUUCUACGUAACAAUAGCUUCAGUGGGACACUUCCAGAUAUAUUUAGUAACGCCACCAAGUUAAUAUCACUUGACGUCAGCCGCAACCAGCUAGAAGGAGAGCUUCCAAAGUCCUUGAUCCAUUGCACUCGUCUUCAGCUUCUGAACGUGAGAAGCAACAGAAUCAAAGACACGUUUCCGUUUUGGUUGGGAUCUUUGCCGUCAUUACAUGUACUCAUCCUCAGAUCAAACAAGUUUCACGGACCGCACGUGUCUACAAAGUUCCAAAGCUUAAGAGUCAUCGACGUCUCGCAUAAUGACUUCACUGGAACUUUACCAACUUUCUACUUCUCCGAGUGGCUUGAGAUGACCACGGUGGGGGUUGAAGACGACAGCUUCAUGAUCUCUGACGUUCCUUACAUGGGGAAGGUGCUGAACGCUACCGCCUCGUACAUUAGCUCAAUGGAGAUAGUUAAUAAAGGAGUGGAGAUGGAGUUUAAGAGGAUCAACCAAGACUACAAGACCGUAGACUUCUCCGGAAACAGAUUCUGUGGGAACAUCCCUGAGUCUAUUGGACUGUUGAAGGAGCUGCGUCAUCUCAACUUGUCGGGAAACGCGUUCACAGGCAACAUACCACAGUCUUUGGGAGAUUUGACAAAGCUCGAGUCGUUAGACUUGUCCAAGAAUCAGUUGUCUGGUCAAAUCCCUCAAAAUCUUGGUGGUCUCUCGUUUGUGUCGACAAUGAACUUCUCUCAUAAUCUUCUUGAAGGACCAGUGCCGAGAAGCACACAGUUUCAAGGCCAGAGUUGCUCUUCCUUCAUGGACAACCUUAAACUAUACGGUCUUGAAGACAUAUGUGGAGAAACUCACAUGAAGAAUCCUGUAUCAGAAGUGCCAGCAGAGAAGGAAGAGCAAGUGGUUAACUGGAUAGCAGCGGUAAUAGCUUAUGGACCUGGUGUUUUCUGUGGAUUUGUGAUUGGACAUAUCUUGACUUCACGUAAACGUAAAAAUGUAGUAACCAAAAGUGUUUGUUAAAGACCUUCUCUUGUAGUUUUCUUACAUGUACUGUCAAAUUACGUUCACAAGCAGAGGCUAUAUAUGAUGUUAUAGCUGAACUGUUUCCUGUUAUGGUAAUGAAGGUUACUACAGCCUACAGAGCUUAUAAGAAUCCAAUUCCAGAGGGUAUAAAAUUUUAUUUUGGUAGCCGAAGAUAAAUGAAAAGAGGCUUAUUGUUUUUAUUUGGACAAAUCUACUAAAAACACCAUAAACAAGUUUUUAUGAACAAAAUAACACACAACGAAUAAAAUUACCAAAAUAAAUUUUAUUAAAAUAAAAAAACUAGUUACCAUUAACAAAUAAUACAUUUAACAAAAUUAAAUAUUUUAACAAUUAUUGUUUAAAAAAAUUAUAUUCUAAAUUCUAAAUCUUAAACCUUAAUCUUCAAACCUUAAACCUUUUUGUCAAAAAAAAACUAAACCCUAAAGUUUACAUUAAUUAAUCCAAAGAUCUAUGUAAACUUAUUUUUAUCAUUUUCUUAUGUUGUGUUAUUUUAUGAUAAAAACUAUAUUUCAAUUUUAUUUCAGUAGCUGAAGACCCUCUAAACGAGACAGAGGGUUAUUGUGUCGUCUCUUUCUCUUUAUGAUCCCCGUUUGAUAUCUUGGACAUGUGUCUGGUCAUCAGUUAACGCCUCUAAAAGUCUCAAAAACUCUUCCGAGGACAGAGAAGGGUAAGAGAGACGCAAUGGAAUGCUUCCGUGUAUCCCCUCCGAUUCCAAAACUCUCUUUCUUCUCCAACUCAAGAAACUCAACUUCUCAACGAUUCAUCAUCCCCAGUUGCAGAGAGAGAAGAAACAGAGAUGAACCACUCUCCACCUCUUCACCAUACUCCAUACUCGGCGUGGAGCCAAACUGCUCAUCUCUCGAGCUAAAAGCAGCUUUUCGCGCCAAAGUAUGAAUCCAAGAUUCAAAUCUCUUUGCUUUUCCUUUUUUCAUGUGUUGACUUACUUUGAGCUUUUGUGAAAGGUGAAACAAUACCAUCCUGAUGUAAACAGAGAAGGAAGCAGCUCUGAUGUUAUGAUCCGUCGCAUAAUCCAAGCUUACGAGGUACUAACAAACACUAGCAGAGCAGAGAUCAUUGAAGGGUACACACUCACUCAUUCAUAAUACACUUUCUCUUAAUACAAAAAAAAAACAGAAUAAACCAAGUAAUGUGUUUUUUUUCCUGUACUAGAGAAUGUUUGGACCCUUUUGAUAAUCCAGAGUGUGAGGCGCUUGAUGUGUUUGUGAACGAGGUCCUCUGCUUCGGAAAAAGUACAGAACUUUCCUGUGGAUUGAGCUUUUUUUUUUUUUUUUGCUCUGUUUCUUCUUGAACAUGUGUUUCUGUCUUAUUGUAGGAUGUUCGUACCCAUGUUUUAAGACAGCAUCUCAUGUCUUUUCAUGUGAUUCAACUGGAACAGCUAGAGCAAUGUCUCAAGGUGUGUAUCCUUCUUUUGUUUCCUUUGUAUUCGCCUUCUACUUAUAGCUUCUAAUAGUGUAUAUGUGACCAGGGCGUGGAGAAGAUUACCGGGUACAAUCUGCAGUUAACCAGUGUCCUAGAAGUUGCAUACAUUAUGUCACACCUUCCCAGAGAAUUAUUCUAGAAGAGUUACUAGACAGGUAUCUGAUUCAUUCUCUCUAUCGUCCCUCUUGAGAUAUUCUAUGUGCUUGUGAAUGUUCACUAACAAAGUCACAUAUCGUUCAUAUUUCCACAGUGUUUUGGACAAACCUUAUGAUUGUUCUGCGGAGGCAGAGUUGCUCUAUGCUCUUAUAGUCAAAGCUCAGUUUGAGAACAACCGGUACAGGAAACCAAAGAAGAAACAACCUGAAUCUUCAAGCAAACAUGUAGACUGGCUCUGAAGCUAGAGUUAAUCCGAAUUAGUAAUUAUAUCUUCUUUAGCAAAAUGCAUUCUUGACAUGAAUGAAUCUGUAACAGCUCCUUCCAACUGGAAAAUGAAAACAAAAGCUAUCAAAAUUUGUAUACAAUAAGAAGUGUUACUAAUACUAUCUCAUUGAAAAGCUGAAAUCUAUACCUACAUGUUGCCCAGACACAGGUCUAAACCUAAGCCCAGGCCCAAUAUGUCGCUUUAAUUUUAGACCUAAGUCUUAUAAAGUGAAAGUUAUAUAUACAUCAGCUAUAUGCUGAUACUGUAGUUAUAGCCACUAAAUUAUUUGGCCUUUUUAAAGUAGCCGUUACGUGUAAAAUAGACCGUUGAACGAAAAUUAAAUUAAAUAAUAAAAGUAAACGAAAGAUCCGUUACGAAAGUAAACUCUUUUAUCCGCUCUCCUCUCUCUCAUUUCCCGUGUCUGUUUGACUUUACGUUCCGACAAUCACCAGUAUCAGACAGAAGCAGAGUUCGAAGCGGAGAGAUUCUUUUUCCUGUCUGAAUGUUAAAAAAGUCUAGAAAGAGAGAGAGAGAGAGAGAGAGAGAGAGAGAGAUAGACAGAUCUGGGUUUCUAGAAGCCAAAGAGAGAAUUCAAGUCAAAGAGUAUAGGAAGAUGGUUGCAAGAACCCCACAAAAGCAGAGGAGAGUGGCGAUGGUGGCGCUUCCUCCUCUCAACUCAGAACUUCUCAAGGAAACAAUCAACAAGGUAUCUUCUUCAUCUUGGUCCAGUUAAAUAGACAUGAUUAGAAUAAAGUUUACGACUUUGUCCCCUUUUAAUUUAAUUCUUACCAAAUUUUGCAAACGCUCCUUCCCAUUAUAGCUUGAAACUUUACUUAAUUAGUACACUAAUUGAAACCCACUGCUAAUAAAAUUGUCUGUGGGCCCCAAGUUCUAUCUUUUAACUGAUUAUAAGUAGUGUGUUUUCAGUUGAAUUGAUUUGCUGUAUUGCAAAAUGAUCUUAUGUUAGUUUCCAUUGAUCAGAUCUUGUUGGUCCAUUUUCUCUAUUAAUAACAUUGGAGGGCCUUUUGGCUGAUUUUGUCAAUUUUGGUAUGAUAUGGUGAAAGGUAGAUAAAUGUAUGGAAAGACUGCAAGAGCUGCAGUACACAAUAGCAGGAGGAACCAAAGUUGUCUCUGGUGUGAACCUUAGCCCUAGAAGCACUAGAAUUUAUUUGAAGACUAGCCUUAGAUGCAAGCAAGAAACCUUAAGGUAAACAUCCAGAAAAAAAAAAAAACUCAAACCCUUUUUUACUUUUUAUAGAAACAUCUAUGUUGAUCCAAACACAGAAACUUCAUUUAUCUCCCUUAUUAUUCAUUUUUGUUGUAGGAUCAAGAAUGCUACUAACAAGAAAUCUCCAUUAGGAAAGUUUCCAGCUUCCUCACCAGGUAAAAUCUCUAUUCCCUCUCUCACACACACAUUCAUUAGGCAAAGAUACUUGUGUGUGUUGGAGAAUUUUGAUUAAAAGAUGCUUCAGUACCAAGGUUACAAUUAUUGUAAAAAAUGAUUUUUUUUUCUGAAUUAAUUUAGCAUUCAUUAAAAAAAAAAGAAUUUUGAUUAAAAUUAUCCUAUUUGAUGGAUUCUUGGAUCUAAAGUUUCUGUAUUUCAGUAAUGUAUAAUGUAUUUGCCAAUGCAGGAGACUGGAGGAAAAUGUCACUACCUGCAAUGCUACUAGGAGAGACAGUAAACGAAAUCUUACAAGCCUCACAGGUCACUAGAGACAUUGUAGACGCCCUUGCACCAAAGAAGAGUAGAAAGUCAGAAGAAGACGGUUGCCCGAAGACACCUGAGACUCAACAGAAAUCACUGGAACCAAACCCUAAAACUGUCAGCAGUAAUAUCAAAGCGAGAAGGAAGAAAGAGAAGCAGAAGAACAAACGUUCAGAACCAACUUCUCCUGCUUCUAUACAUAAGGCUCGUUCAAGAAUUGUGUUCAAGAUUGUCUCUCCACAGACAAAACCAGAGAAGAAGGCUCAAGUAAAAGGGGAUGGUGAGAAUAGUUUUAGGCAUUUGGCUAAUAGGGUUUCGCCAAAGCACAAACCUUGGGUUAAAAAGGCUGUUCUUUUCCCUAACCCUUUGUUUAUCUCCGGUUCCUCUACACAACAAGCUAAGUUCAGUAGAACUAUGUCUCCUGUCAUAGCCAGAAGCAACAAAGAGACGCCACAGAAGUUCUUGAUCAGGUCUCCUCCUUCCACGUCAGCAUCAAAGUUUCAGGUCAAGAUCAAGAGUCCACCUAAAGUCUCGGUUUCUCCUAACAGAAGCAGAAGUAACUUGGCUCGCAAGUCACCGACAAGAAGUGUAACCUUGGAAAAGAAGUCUCCAAAGCUAUAUACAGCUGCAAAGAUCAGAAGAUCAUUCACUCCUACGAGAAAUGGAAGUAACGUGUCACGCAAGUCAUCUGUUUCUCCAAAGAGAGUCACGCUUCAAGCAUUUAUAUCUCCAUCAAGAAAUGGUGGUGACGUGGGCAAGAAGUCACCAAAGCCUUCGAUUUCUUCGACUAGAGUGGGCAAGAAGACAUCAACUGCAGCAAAGCUGAGGAGGUCAUUUUCGCCAUCAAGACUAGCGAUGAGGCUGGUGUCUCCACUGAAGAGCAGGAAAAGUGUUGGGAAGUGUGAUGAUCAUGAUGAGAUGGGGAUGAUGGUGAGCGGCUUGAAACAGCGUCCUGUUAUAGUUCCUAAGAGGUUCUCGAUGGGGAGAAUCUAAUAAGAGAGACUUUGAAAUGAAAUAAGAUACCUUUUUAGUACAAAUAAACUUUUUUUCUUUUAUCAGUUGAUCAAAUAGCAAGUUGAAGACUUUUAUAUCUUUUAUCAGAUGAUUAAAUAGUAAGUAUUGAAGAUAGAAGACCUCUAAUAAGAGUUUUAGAGUGUGAUUGGUUACAUAGGGGAGUAAAAGUGGGGAAAAUAAAGUAGAAAUAUGAGGUAUGAAAAUUAAUAAAUCUAGAGUGAACUUUUUCAUUUCAUAAAAGGUUGAGAGAAGAUUUACUCUUUUUUUUUUUUUUGUAACACGAGAAGAUUUACUCUAUUUUUACUAUUUUCUCACUUUUUAGAAUAAAUGAACUGAAACAAUUUUUUAUUCAAUUGACUGAAAUCAGUGUAAGUGAGAUGACAUAAAAUAAAUUUUCAACUAUUUUAUUUUAUUUUAAAUAUGUCAUACAGGCACACCUUUAGUGUGUGAAGAAGUAUAGACGAGUGAAAACAUAAAAUCAAUCAAGUGUGUGGUAUUAGAAAAAAAAAGAACAAAAAAAGCUUGCAAUAAUAUAAUUAUUAUCGUUUAAUCACUAUGUUUAAAGUCCUUUAUUACUAAUUUUAACUAGUUUAAUAAUUACUUAUUCUUGGGUUCACUCCCUAGGGUGAACCUGUAGGUUCACCAACCAAUAAGAUUAUGUUAUUUCAAAUUUGAUAUCUUUUAUAAAAGGAAACAAAAUAUUGUCAAGUUAUAUUAUGUUUUUAAAAUAAAAAGAUAAAAAUUAAAAAUAAAAAUUGUAGUAAUUACAAAAAAUAUUUUUAACGUCGUCAGAAAAAAAAACUAAACCCUAAAUCCUAAUCCCUAAACCCUAAAUUCGAAACCCUAAACCCUUGGAUAAACCCUAAACCCUUGGAUAAAUCAUAAACACUAAAUCAAAAACACUAAACACUAAAACAUUCAAGGGUUUAUGAUUUUUGUGUUUAGUGUUUUUGAUUUAGAGUUUAUGAUUUAUCCAAGGGUUUAGGAUUUACCCAAGGGUUUAUGAUUUACCCAAAGGUUUAGGGUUUAGGGAUUAGGAUUUAGGGUUUAGUGUUUUGCUGACGACGUUAACAAUAUUUUAAAAAAAAAUCUUUUUUUUUGUAACUAUUAUUUUUUUUUACCUUUUUAUUUUAAAAACGUAAUAUAACUUAACAAUAUUUUGUUUCCUUUUCUAGAAGAUAUCGAAUUUGAAAUAAUGAAAUCUUAUUGGUUGGUGAACCUAGAGGUUCACCUUAGGGGGUGAACCCAAGAAUUACUCUUUAAUAAUAUAAUUCUAUCACAAGUUGGAAAAAUGUUGAACGAACUUUCCAUGCAACUUUGUCUAAAGUUUGGCUACCAAUUAGGCAAUUGCUUCAUUUUGCUUUUUUCAAGUUAUCACUUCUCGGUUUAUCUCUUGCCUUUUUCAUGACACAUAAAAGCAGUGAAGAUGAAAUUUGAUUAAUACUUCCUUAUUAUCAAUUUGGUAUGUUCUUCCUUCUUUAAAUAACUUUAGGUCUCUAAUUGUGUAAACAUGCCUCUUUGAGUUUCUUGCAAGUUCAAAUGUCCCAAACAAAAUGAUUUUGUUCAGAUAGAUUCAGUCUCCUAGUGAGAAAAUAAGAAAGCAAACCUUAACAUAUAUUUGGCUCGAGCCUUACUACUAUGUACGUAUGCAUGUUUCAACUUGAGUUUUAGGAUUCAGACGUAGAUUGACCACAUGGUUCUAUAAACCAGGCUGUGAUUAAUCCUCCAAAACAAAACAAUCACGGGUCCCACUCCCACAAAAAAAAAACCCUACAUACACAAUAAUACACACGUAACUUUCUCUCAAAGCAAAGAAUCUAAAGUUGCAAAACUUUUAAAAGAAAGCAUUCAACUUUGCUUCUCCCACUCCACUUACAUUCCCUGUGCUUCCUCAAGCCAAGAACAACCAUAGAGGUUUUCAAAAGCAUUCUCAGUUUCGGUUUCAACACAAAAAUGGAAACUUCUAGCAACUCCACCAACUCAUCGCUCUUUCAAUGGUUAGGUCUUAUAGAAGACUACGAUCAGCCUUCUACUUCCACCCUUCCUCAUGUCAUCACCCUUCUCGCCUCAGUUCUUACGAAGAUGAUUCAAAAGAACGAAAAGCCAUUCCACACAAGACGCAACAAGUUCAGUUUAUUCAAUAUGUAGAAAUGAAAUUUCUCUAUCCUCUCCGAUCUCUCAUGUUUGAAUCUCCUUUACGAUCAACAGGGACGAAGAGAUCACUAUGUUCCAUGGCUCAAGAUCACCCUCCAUGAACAUCCAACGUUACACAGAGAGAGUCCACAGGUACGCUCGGUGUAGCCCUGCGUGCUUCGUUGCAGCCUUUGUUUACAUCAUUAGGUAUCUAGAAAUACCAGUGGCUACAAGCACGACUCGUCGUCUCACGUCACUUAACGUUCACCGUCUUCUCAUCACCAGUCUCUUGGUCGCAGCAAAAUUCUUGGAUCGCAAGUUAGUAUCUUCUUAACUAGCUAGACCUAAAAUUUUCGUAGUCUAUUUGCUUAUAAUUCGAGCCUGUUAUCUUGUUUUUUUAUGGAGUUUAGGUGUUAUAAUAAUGCUUAUUAUGCGAAAAUUGGAGGAGUUAGCACUGAAGAGAUGAAUAGGCUAGAGAGAACGUUCUUGUUCGAUCUUGAUUUCAGAUUAAAUAUUACAGCGGAGAUGUUUGAGAAACACUGUCUCAUGUUGCAGAGACAAACGGUGCCUUGUGGUUCAAGAAGACUUAGAACCGCUCUUGAAGAGAUGACUUGUGGCUGCCAAGCGAUCUAACAAAGCCCAUAAGAUUUGCUUAGUUCUUCUUUUCUUCUGUACCACGUUUUAAAACUAAUAAUGUAUUUUCUCAUGAUUAAUUGAAGAAAUAGAUCAAUGUAAACUAGUUAAGCUUGCAAUCAAAACAUGUCUUUUCUUGAUAUCGAUCCAUUGAGAAACAUGGCGAUAAAAAAAUUAAACUUGGGCUACUAAAUGUUGGUCUGAGUCAUAUCCUUCUAUUUAUUGUUGGGCCAAACCUGACCCAAAGAUCAUUAGCAAAUGCUAUUAUUGUGUAACGGAUAUAUGAAUAAGAAUAUUGCAGCUUAACAACACAUUUUGCAUAUUUUUGAUAGUAUUAGAACUUUGGAUUACUACUAGAGAGAAACCAGAUCUUCUUUUGGGUCCGGCGGACAGGCGGCGCGUGAGCGUGCGUGCCGUCGCUGGAGCCCCUCAAGCUACCGUUUCAGCCUUCGAUUUCGCUUUGCUCUAGUCCCCUCUCUCUUCCGCCUUGCCUGAGCUCUGGAACAAGGCCGCAUGUGGCGAUUCUGUUUCUGGCGUAAGGGCGCGGUCGUAUUGAGGAAGGCGCGGUGAAGCCCCUUGUUCGGCUUUUUGGUUUUACCUCCGGGAGGCGGAGGCUCUCCUAGCUUCGUCGACGCCGGUUCCUGUCCCCGAGAGGUGGAGGCUUCGUCAGCUCUGUCCUCGUCAGUCUAGAUCACGGGGGGUGAAGGCGUUUCAUGCCUUGCCUCGCCGUCUGGUGUUUCCCUAGUUCCGUUUUAGGGUUCGUCUGUUCUUUCCUUUUAGUUUUACGUUUUUGGUUUGGGUUGGAUUGGGUGACGACGACGUCGGAGGACGAUCGAAGCUCGACCUUGGUUAACGAUAAUGGUUCGCGUGAAGCCUUCCUCUCGGUGAUUGUAAUGAAUGGUGACGGAUGAGAUCUCGAACAGUCGAUUGAUUCUCUCUGGAUUGGGUUUCACUUGACUUGAAGACGUUUGCGGUGAGAUGGUGUGGAGUCAGUGAGUUCCGGUGGAUCCGGGUGAAUCGACGGUUGGUUACCCGGUGGUCUUUCGAAACGAGGACGACGUCGGAGCCGCAGCGUUUGUCCGCGCGGCGGCGGAGUCUCGUGGAGCCUAGGGUUUUCGGUGUUGGGCCUUGGAUCCGGAAUCUUAUUUUAAUUUUUGGUCCGUCUUUCUUGGGCUUAUGUAUGUUGGACUAUGGGGUUUUUUAGGCCCGUUAAUCAAAUUUCUAAUCGAGGGGAAAAAAAAAAAAACAACACAUUUUGCAUAACUACAAAAAUUAUUUUUAUACUAUAUAAUAAAGCCUCUUCCACGGUAUUGCUCUUGCGUUUAUGACGGCUACGGGUGGGGACUAUCGACUAUUACGCAUAUGAACACGGUGGAUAAAUGUAAUGCCGUAUUAGAAAAUCAUGCGUUGAAUACGGCGUGACACAUUCGAAAACAAUGAUAGUUUCAGGACGUUAACUAUAAGCUCGUAAAUUUAAACAGAACGCGUGACAUUAGAAAAGUAUAUAUUCCACCAAACUCUAACCAUUUUAUUCAAAUAUUAAAUUCAGUCUUUUACCUAUAUUCACAAGAUUUGUCGUUUAAACUUUCGCUUUUUGCACUUUUCUCCGUGAUUCUGCUCUGUUCUGUUCAAGAACCUUCCUCACCUCCCGUCUAUCUCAAUAUUUUCAAAUAUACAAUCUCUUCUUUUUUUUAAACAUCCCUUGAAACCUCAGUUUGCAUAUUCUUCUUGUCAGUGGCUACGAUUGGCUGGAUUCUAUUUAUCUGACAUUUUUCUAAUUAGCCUUUUUGGAUUCUCUCUUUGCUUUGCUUCAAAGCUUUCUCCCAAAAACACCCUAAUAAUCCGUGAUUAGAGCGAUUUAUCGUAAUUUUGUUUUAAUUUGUCUAGUAAUCACGAUACUGGCAGAUUAGGCAAAAACAAAAAUCAGAAAUUAAAAGUAAGGUAGGUCAAAAUUCUUCCUCUCGUCUAGGGUUUUAUUCCUUCUGAUUAUUAGCCUAUUUAGACCUAGAAAAGAUGCGAUUUUUAUUUAAUCCUGAUCAUUAAAAUAGAUUCAAAAUCGAUCAUGCAUGUUAAUAUGUUAUGUUCUGGGACCGUCCCAGAUUUUGAAUAAAGUUUCAAUCUUUUAGGGUUCUUAUCUCUUCAAUGCAUACUCUGUUUUUGAUUCUUGCAGGUUUCUAACGUCGUCGACUCAGACCAAGAUUUUGAUGUUGGAGAAGAAGCUGAAUCUGAAGUGAUUAACAAUGAAUUCUCAGUUUAGUUCCAAGAAUCUAAGACUCUUUUCAAAAUCUAUCACUUGCAAAUGCCUUGUUCUUGUUGGCAUUGCUCUGUUCUUCAGAGCUCUGUCUCUCUCUUACUCCACCAGAAACAGUAGCUUCUUGUUUCGAGCCCGUUACAUGUCAGAUUCCUCCUCAACAGCCCACAAGUUCCUCGAGGUUCCUCAGAUCGUAUGGGGACUAAACAACCAGAAGAUAGCUUUCGCAAGAGCUUGCUUGACCGCAAGAACCAUGAACAGAACGCUUCUCAUGCCUAGCCUAAGCGCUUCCUUGUUCUACAAGGAAGUAGACAAGCUCCGUCCCAUCCCCUUCGAUAAAGUCUUCCAGUUCCAAAGAUUCAACUCUCUCUGCAAAGGGUUCGUGCGGCUCGCUCGGUUCUCCGACGUUAGAAACAGAACACAUUCUUUUGACCUAGAGAAAGGCAGUGGAAGGAGGUGGACAGUGGAGAGAGACUUGCAACAGCUGAAACAGUCCGCAACUAAUGAGUUUGAAGUGGUCCGUGUCGUAGGAAAGAACCCUUUCUUGUGGCAUGAUCAUUGGCCUGUUAAGGACUAUGCUAAGGUCUUUGAGUGUAUGGUUGUGGUCGAUGAGAUCUCGAGAGAAGCAGAUAAAGUGGUGACGAGAAUCAGACAAGGAGGGGGAGAUAAUAGAAUCAGGACGGGUCUUGUCCCUUUUGUUGCGGUUCACAUGAGGAUAGAGAUAGAUUGGAUGAUACAUUGUAAGAAGCUAGAGCAAAGGCUAAAGGUUUCAGAGAUUUGUAGUAGCAAAAGAGAGAUCAUGGAGAGAGUAGGGAACAUAUCUGGUUUAAAGACUCCAACAGUUCUUUACUUAGCAGUAGCAGAUAGUCUCUUAGAUGAAAAAGAUGAAGAAUCAUCGGUCUUAAAUGGUUGGAGAGACGGUUUAGUACCUUAUGAGAAGAAGAAGCUUGGGGUUAAAGAGGAGGUUUAUGGGAAAUAUUCUUAUUUGAUACAAUCUGCUAUAGAUUAUGAGGUGUGUUUAAGAGCUGAUGUGUUUGUUGGUAAUAGCUUUUCGACUUUCUCUAGUCUCAUUGUUCUUGAGAGGACUCAGAAGAUGAGAAGGUUAGGUUUUGUGAGUUCUUGUGAAGAUGGUGAGAACGAGUGGAGAUCAUAUGCAUAUAAUCUUGCUGGAGAAUCAAAGGGAGUUCCAAGGAGAUGGAUGACUAAUAUGACUCAUUCUAGUUUGGAGGCUAUUAGCUAUGGCUCUAGUUCUGUUUCUUGUUCAAGUGAGUGAAGUUGUGAAACUUUAGAGUUAGGUUUUGGUCUUUUUAUACAAUUCUUUUUUUUUUUUUGUGGUACAAAGCUGUGUAGUUACGUCUUUAGAUCUUUCCUUCAUUUUGUUCUUUAAUUCUGACUUCUACUGGUAAUUAUUGAGAGUAAACAAAAUGAAAUUUAUAGAAAACAAUCCUUUAAUUCUUAAACAAAGCAUCCAUGAACAAAUAACUUAAACACACAAUCUCUCCAAUACAGUUUUGAAUCUUUCUUUAGCAGCUGUCCAACUAUGAAUCCAUACAUAUUAUGAUGAAAUACAGAAGCAUUUGACCCAACAUUCUGGAAUCCAAGAAUUGAUUAGCUUGAGGACCCUUUUCCUCUUUGACUCAAUCUUUGGAAUACACAAAUGAGGAUGCUCAGCCGCUGUUAGUAUCUUGUGAAACAAGUUAUCGACAUUUCCAAGUUUGGAACUGAUUGGUAUUGGAGCUUCAAUCCCUAUCUCUUGUGUAGCCUGCAAGAUCUCAUUUACAUGAAAACAUUAUUAUUACAUAAUCUUUUGAUGAUUAUUAAUCAAUAAGGAAGAUCAGUACUUACCCUAGUGGAUUCUUGAAUUGCCAUUGGGAAUGAGUCAAGAUCCAUUUUAGCUGCAACCAUUAGACAAGGAAACACAAACCCUGCGUCUUCACUAAUUGUUGCAACCUCAGAAACCAUAUAAAUGGCUCUCUUCCAAGAAGACUCAUCAGAAGAAUCAUAAACAAAGACUGCUACAUCACAAGAAGCCAAUGCUUCAUCUGAUAAUAGGAAUCCAUCUUCUUGAUAUUGAAUCUCCUUCAUCACCAGAGUUUUCUUUGUACCUCCAGUUACACCAGAGUUCCCAACCAUAUUAACAGCAUAACGCUCCUCACCUAAUCCAUCUCUAUUGUCAUCAUCAUAUGGCCUAAGAUCAUAUACAAUCAGACAUAUAUUUUAUGUUGUGUAAAAUCAAUUUUUCUUGACCUGAGUUUUAAAACAAACAAACCUUCCAAUAAAUCCAUUGAGCAGUGCAGACUUUCCAGCAUUCUUAGGUCCAAAGACAAAACACUGAACAACUUUUCUUACAGAUGUUUGCUCCUUGCGGUCUAGCUCUCUCCUCCUAGUAACAUGAACUGCUGAAGAUGGAUCAUCAGGGUGACAAAUGCAAAUGAAAUAUUCAAGACUCCUAGCCGGAUCUAGUAGUGUCAUCAAUGACCACUGCAAAGAUAGAAAUAGUUUUAAAGAUUUAGGACAAAUUGUAAACAUUUGAUAUGGGAUCUUCUUGAAACCGUUCUUGAUUACCAGUGAGAGGAAAGCUUCAAGUGAUAAUCCUCCAUUGCUAGUUUUCUCUGUAGCAUCUUUAUAAGGAGCUCCAUUCCAAGGACUGUUAUUAAUGAAUCAAAUCAAUGGAGUUACACAUAAGUAGAUACAAGGACUACAUUAUAUUCAAAAUUUGCGCUCUUUUUGAAAGUGAAAAGGUUACCUUUCAGGUGCAGUUUCAAAGAGAGAUUCCAUCAUUUGAGGUCCCAACUUAUCGAAACGGUGAUAGGCUCUCUUUAAGGAUCCAAUAGCUUGAUCUGUCAGCUCAACACUCUGCACAAAAGCCAAAUCAGAACAGCAGCAAAUAAUCACAAUAGAGUGCUAUAUUUCUGAAGAUGUUUACCUGAUCAGGCAUGCGUUUGAAUGAUGAAUAAGGAAUCAUCUCAUGUACAAGUCUUAAAUCAUUGUUAUAUCCUAGUGUCCUAAGAAUAGUCCAUAACGUUCUGAGUUUUCUAUCGUUGAUAAGCUUUGUGAUUAGAACCAAGAAGCCAUCUAUUGUGAGUCCGUUCUCUUUGACUCCUAGUGGACACAGUUCUUGAACAGAUUUUAUUAAUUCUCUACUACGAGAAGGCAUCACUGGUAUACCAAAGCUACGAACAUUCAUAUCGCUUAACCCGUCAUCACUGAGAAUGUAAUCAUUGUUACGCGCAUAUAGAUCAAAUAUACGUUUUAAGGCAGCAACACAGCGAGGCUUCAGUGAAUUGGUUACUCGAUCAUACACUGGUCCUAUUGGGUACAUAGCCGAUAUUUGCGCUUGCACAAAAACCGCUUGAGCCUGCACAAAAAUCAGUUUGGUCGUUUUCAGACAUGAAGUAUAGUAAAAGGUUGAAAUGCUUUAAAGUGUUAAGAUCUCACUCACAAGCCAACUGAUAUCAGAUAGCCACGGAGCAGACCACUCAAUGCAUAUCUCUAUCUCUUGACAUUGUUGCCUUAUAGGUAACGUUAUUUCUUCAAUGUUGACCGGAUUAUGUUCGUUUUUGAUAACACUAUAACAUGCUACUACGAUAGGGACUCUCACCUAUGUAAUAGAAAUGUCAGAAGACAAACAUUUAAUAAGAAAAAUUACAAAAUUGAUUGAUGAAGAGAUAAAAAAAGAAUGAAACUAAACCUCUAGUUGUCGGAACAGAGGAAGCCAAUAUUCACUUAAACGGUCCAAAGUCUCUUGUCUAUCUAUUGCAAACGUCAGAACUAUUGCAUCUGCUUCCUUGACUUCUCUAAUGACAUCUCUCUUGUCUUCUGGUCUGCAAAUGUUAUUAACAAAGACAUCAAUAGAAUAAAAACCAUUAUAUUUAAAUAUAAACCUAUCUACAGAAUAUUAUAUUAUAUACAUCCCUUAAUGAUGUCAAUAUAUGCACAAAUCAUAAUAAACAUUUACCUUGAAGAAGUGUCGAUAAGGGUAACCGGAACAUCUUCAGAGCAAUAUUCAGAAGGUAGUUUUGUAUAAGGUAACAUAGGAGGGAUGUUAGGUUCAGGAUAGUAAUGAUCAGUUACUGCAGCCAUGAUCAAACUUGUUUUCCUAGUUUCUGUCUCACCAACUACAACGAUUCGUACAGGUUUUUUCGAGCCAUUUGAGUCUCCCAAACCAAAACCAAAACCACUCGUCAUCUUAUGCUGCAAACAAACAUCAAAAUAAUUUUAAGGAUAAACAUAUACAUGUCUUGUAAGAUGACAUCUGAGAAGAUCUAUGGCCUUAGAGGCUUAAGAAUCAAGUCUUAAGGGCAUUGUAUGUUGAAAAGGACAAGACUUUUUCACAACCCACAAGAUGAAAUUACUGAAACAGAGAUAGACUAGAUGAUCCAUCAUAAAGAUGCACACUUUCAGAACCAAAAGUACUCAUCAUCUGAUUUUGCAAACAAACAUCAAAACACUUUUCAGAAUAAGACUGAACUAUGGCCUAGAGGUUUAAGAAUCAAGUCAUAAUGGCAUUGUAUGUUGAAAAGGAGAAGACUUUUAUACAACCCAUAAGAUCAAAUUACUGAAUUAGAGUCAAAAACAGAGAGAGGGUAGAUGAUCCAUGCAUACUUUUCAGAAUGAUUCAAAGGCUCAAAAGCAGUAAGAGAGAUUUUACCUUGAAGGUCAAAAUGCAAAUAAAGACGAGAUAUAUGGUAACUAAGCUUAUGAAAGAUGAGAAUUCAAAGUAGCAUUUUCAUCUCUAUUUAUAUUACUGGUCGAUUCCAAGUAGCAUAUCCAGUACCUUAAGCCAAGUGUCACGUCUUAGUGUGAUAUUUGCGUUUGUGUGAAAGGAUCAACGGAUGAGAUUGAAUAUCUAGACAUUGAUACAAUUGGUCUUCUUGUUUCUGUUAUCUUGUUACCUUUUUGGGUGUUCAAAGCUUUUAAUUACUUGCAUUAAUUUGAAUACCCUAUUGUUGAAUAGAAAAUCCUUUCCUUGUUAACAUUUAAACAAUUCAAGCAUUCGUGUUGAAUAGAACUGCAUAACAUUAUUACAGUUUAACCGUACGUGCAUCAUGCUAUUUCAUUACAUUUUGAUUUUUGACUAUAUAACAAUUAAUUAGAAAACGCGUGUGAUCUUUAUCAUAUACUUUCCACUUAACGCAAUUAAAUUUGUUACCAAAAAUAAUUUUCCUAAAUCAAUUACCAAAUAAUCAUAAUCAUCUAAUUAAAACAUUUCUAUUAACCAGAUAAAUAUGAUAAUUUCUGUUUUUUUUAAAUUAAAUUCGAGAAAAGGUAUAUAAACAUCAAGUGGCACGAAACCUUCUAAAUGAAAAAGAAGGUUACCCUCUGUUACAAAGGCGAGUUUCUUCUCGAUUCCUGAGAGACGACGAACGUGAGAUCGACAAGGAGAUCAAGAUGAUGACCGGCGGGAACUACACGACGAUCGACAGCCAGAAAGUCUCUGGAUCUGUACCUGUAAGUUCACUCCUCCGAUUCGAUUGUUAUACAUGAGUAUCAUCUACGUCUGUACUUCCUCCGAUCUGAUCUCGUUUGUGUUGAUCGUAGUCCGUUCCAGAUCCAGGCCACACCACCGUCAAAUUCGCAGGUAAAACAUUCGAUUUUGAUUGUAGAGCGGUUAGGUUUGAACGAAAUUGAUUUGAAAUUGAAGCUAAAGAAGAAAGCAAUUUGCUAUGGAUUCUUGAAAGAAUCUAGGUUUAGCUGGAAUCUAAAUGCAUUGUUUGUGUUGCAGAAUCAAAUCUUCAAACAUUUCCUCCAUCUCAGGGCAAGAUCUCUGGUGGGAGUAAUCCCCCUCGUGAUGCUGAUGGUAUGGAGUUUUUAUUCUAUAUGAAGUUAUAAGAUGUGGAAACGUAUGAUUGAGCUUUGAUUUGAACACUGGUGCAGAUACAUUUUCUGGACCUGGUAACGGUAGUAGUAGUAGUACAGAUGAACCUCAGUCUGGUGGCUGGCUCCAUAAGUUUACUGUUGGUGCUUACAAGCCGUUCUUCGACGUCGACACUUCGGAUGUCUUGGACAGACUCAAGGAAUCUCUCUUCCCGUUCCGCGGAACGUUUACAGAGAAGACUGCUGAUAAGCCUGACUUGUAAGAGUUGUAGUCUUUUUCUUUUUGACUUUACGAAUGAAACUCGGUUGAUUUGUGUUUUGUUAGGUAUGGUCCGUUCUGGAUAUGCACGACUUUGAUAUUCGUGGCGGCGUCUAUCGGCACGUUUGUCACGUACGUAGCGCAUAAAUGGAAGAAACAAGAGUGGAACUAUGAUAUCAAUCUGGUGACUUGGUCCGCUGGUGUUUUCUAUGGCUAUGUCACGCUGGUUCCUCUCGCGUUAUAUGUGGUUCUCAAGUACUUCUCUGCACCUUCGGGGCUAGUCCAGCUCUUUUGCCUCUACGGCUAUUCCCUGUUCAUCUUCAUCCCUGCAUUGGUACCAAUACUUCUCCUUCUAAAUAAAAAUCAAAACAUCUGUAUAUGAUGAAUGAGACUUUGACACUUUUUUUUUAUCGGUGUGUGUUGAACUGCAGUGCCUCUCGGUGGUGCCAGUGGAGAUCUUCAGAUGGGUCAUCGCGGGUGUAGCAGGGUUCAUGUCUGCAACAUUUGUGGCUCUGAACCUCAAAGCGCAUAUCAAUUCCGCUGGGGAGAGAUCGAUCCUGAUAAUCGCAAGCAUCUUUCUUUUGCAGCUGGGGCUUGCGGUUGUGCUGAAGCUCUAUCUGUUCACAGUCACAGUAUGAUUAUUCAUAAAGGUUUUUAGAAAUUUUGUUUUUAUAAACUAAGGGUAAUGUGUUUUUUUUAUAAUGUGUUCUCUCAGAUUUACUAAUUUUUUGUACUGUAUUAAGAAAGUCGCAUUUGUUUACAUAGAAAUCAAACAUGGCCAUUUUAGACUCUUUUCUAAACUGAUAUCCAUUAAAUUAAAACGUGAUGUUUCGUAUAAUUACAAAAAACGAUACAAAUCUCAAGUUCAAGAGUUUUCUGUGGGUGAAUCAGGAAAGCAAUAGCUAAUCCCUUCAUUCACUAGUUUGACCUUCGGAUAAAUAUUUCAUAUAUGACCGAAACAAUAGCUAAUCCUCAAAGGUUUUUAUCAUCCACACCUUUUUCAAAAACAACAUAAUCAACUCAGCACGGAUCUUUACAGAUCAAAUUUUAUAGGAUUUGUUAUGAAAGUUAGUAGCAUACUAUAACAAGUUGACCUGCUCUUGUACCUACUAUUAGAGGAGGGAGCUGCAUAAUCCAUCAUUUUCACACACAGAAAAACAAAGCUAAAUAAAUAUCUUACUUUGUAACCAUCUUUUACCAAACUCGAGAUAUUAUAAACAUCAUGCCACCAAAAAAGAAAUUAUUCAUAUCCUAGGCAGAGUUAGAAAAGAAAACGACAGCUCCAAAGAAGAAAAUAACACAAGACUCCUAAGAUUAAGAUAAAACAUAUUCAGAUCAGGUUUGUCUACUUAACAUAACCAAAGAUCACAUGAUACUACAACCAGCUGGAUUCUCAUCGCUGAACAUAUCAGUAUAAGGACCCGAGUGUGGAGGCGGCAUUGGCGGUGGAUGAGCAUAAUUCACUGCUGGAUAUGGCCGAGCAUACAUCAUCGGGUGGUACAUGUCUCCACCGUGACCACCACCAUAUCCUCCAUGAGCUGCAGCAGCUUGUUGUUGUUGUUGUUGCUGCUGGUGCAUCAUCAUUUGCAUGUACUGUUGUUGGUUCAUUUGAUGAUUUGCCUGAGGUGGUUGUGGAUAAUAUCCUCCUCCUCCUCCACUCAUCGGCAAACCUUGUACCGCCGGGUAGGAGCCGCCGCCUUGAUGUCCCAUUGGACCACCUUGACCCAUCAUCCCCAUUGGACCACCUUGUCCCAUCAUACCCAUGGGACCUCCUGGACCCAUUGGACCACCCAUCCCCUUAGCACUAUGAUUAUGAUUCCCCUUGUUACCUCCUCCUCCGCCUGCUUUGUUGUGUUUGAUGAGCUCUUCAAUAUCAUGGGCCCCAUGGGCUCCUCCUUUCGAUUUACCUCCUCCCUUUUUAGGCCCACUAUCAUAAUGAUGAACUCCACCUCCUCCCCCACCACCAGAGGAUUUUACCUUAUCACCCCCACCACCACCACCUUCUUUCUUACCACCUCCCUUCUUCUCAUCUCCUUUUCCACUUUUAACAUUUUUGAAAAACCCUAGAAGGCCACCACCACCACUUUUGGCUUCUGUUUUCCCCGUUUUGCCCCCACCUCCCUUUUUAUCUUUUCCUUCUUUCUUACCCUUCUCACCUCCUUUCUUUCCCUCUUUUCCCAUUUUACCCUCACCCAUUCCCUUCAUUUGCACCGGAAUCUCAAACCCACCACCUCCUCCGCCUCCUUUCUUCCCCGCUCCUCCACCACCACCACCGGCUUUGAACCCAUUCAUCAUCAUCAUAAUCUCAUUAGGCCCCUUAGGCCCACCACCAUGCUGACCCAUUUGUGGCAUCUUGUUAGGCAUCAUCAUCAUCUUAUUUGGAGGCAUGUGAUGAUUACCUCCUCCUGCUCCAUGACCAUGUCCUCCCAUUUCACCAUCCUCCUCAUCGAACUCAUCGUCAUCAUAAUCAUCCUCGCUGAACUCAUCAUCAUAAUCAUCAUCACUAAACUCAUCAUCUUCUUCAGCAAACUUAACAGACUUCUUCUGAUCCUUAGACGCCACAGGAGGCAUCAUCAUCUUCAUAUCCUUCCCACCACCACCACCACCACCUUGAGCAGCCCUCAUCAUCAUCAUCUGUUGAAUCUGCUGAGGAGUCAACUGCAUUGGUUGACCAUGCCCUUGAUUCUGACCACCACCACCACCGUUACCUUUCCCCUUUACUUGGUUGCUCUCUUUUCCACCUUUGCCCUUACCGUUUCCAUUCAUACUGAGAUUAGCAAACCCUUUUCCUCCUCCUCCGCCGCCACCACCGCCUAUGAUCUCGGCGUGUUUCCCUGACUUGCUCAGCUUCUUAACGAGAAGAGCAGGGUCAACGUUCCCUGUGACAGUGACUUUCCCCUGUUCCACAUCUGCUUUUACAGAGUACACUCCUGAUAAUCAAAAACCAAAACCAUUUCAGAUUCUUCCCCAAUGCUUAAAAUCUCAAAGCUUUGAACUUUAUAAAGUAAAGUAGAAACAGAGUACCACCAGAAGAUAAAAUCUCAAAACUUUGAACUUUAUAAAGUAACAUAGAAACAGAGUACCACUAGAGAAUAAAUCUUAAAACUUUGAACUCAAUAAAUUGAAUUUAAAAAGUAAUAUAUAAAAACAGAGUACCACAAGAAGAUAAUCUCAAAACUUUGAACUCCAUGGUCGAAUUAAGAAAGAAACAUAGAAACAGAGUACCACCAGGAGAUAAAUCUCAAAACUUUGGACUCUAUGUUUUAUAAAACAGAGUAAAAUUUUCAUGUGAGAGAGGAGAGCAACAAGGGGAACUCAAUAAAUCAUAGAUCUAUUUGUUUUCAGAGAAGAAAGAACACAAACCUUCGAUUUUCUGCAACUGUUUCUUCACUUUAUGCUUACAGCCUUCACAGUGUACGUUCACUUUCAGAACACAAGUCUGCCCAAAAAAAAACACAGCAGUAAACAGAAUUAGCACACACAGACACAAUCUUGAAGGGAGAGAAAAGAAUAGAAGGAGACGUGUACCUGAAGCUUCAUAACAUCUUGUUUAUUCAUAACUUCUCUUAGAUUUGUGGGUUUUUACAGACAAAACUAUGGUUAGAGAGAGAGAGAGAGUUUCUGUCUGAAACUCUUAUUUUGAAGGGAACAGGGUAGUAGAUAAGAGAUUAUAAGAAGGGGGUAUGUUGUGUAAUAAAGGCGGUUGUUGUUGCUCAAGGACAGAAACAGAGAAAGAGAAAGAGAAAGAGAAAGAGAAAGAGAUUAAAAACACGCUGAACACUUGUGUCUUGUUUAAUAUCUCUGUAUCAGGGUUUCUUAUUUUCUAUGUCUGUAAAAGAGAGCGGUGGUGGCACAAGAAGCAAGGAUAUCUUUCAUUUUGAUUUUGCAAAUAAUCUUUUUUAAUUAUCAUUACUUUACUAUUUUCUUAAUUAUUAUUCGUUUUGUUUUAAAAAAAUUAAUUAUAAAGUUUGUACUUUUUCUUCUGGUACAGAGUUAAGAGAAAGAAGAAGCUUGAAGGCAGCUUCUUUCACUUUGGCAGAACUAAGUACAGCCUCGCUUCGUCACUGUACUUAGCUGUAUUCAUCUUCUGGAAUACGAUUGAUUAACAUACAAUUCGAAUAUUUAAGAUUCUUUAACUACAAUACUUAGCUGUAUUAAUGUUCAAUAAUUAGAUUUACUUUUAUUCGUAAUUUCGUAGAUAUUAUCUAAUGUAUUUUCAUAAGUUUUUUUUUUUUUUUUUUUUGCAACUGUAUUUUCAUAAGUUCAUCUUACUGAUCAUAGCAUAUCUUAUUUCCUUGUAGACUUAUUACAUUACAAUAGUUUUAUGUAGACACUGAUAUUAACAUCAAAUUUUCGGGAUCACAAUAAUGAUUUGUGAUCAAUGAUUUUAAUGAUUGUUGACUAGAGAGGGUUUUGGAUCCAGUCACAAGCAAGAAAGCGGUCUUUGUCAUCAAGAUGGACUUGUUUAAACUUUAAACAACAUCACUUACGCAAACAAAGAAGCUACAGCUACUGAAAUUCAAACAAUAAUUUUAAACUCCUAUAAUGGUAAAUUGUGCGAUCUAGAUCUUUCGUAUAUACUACUAAUACACCACAUACGAAAUGUUUCUUAAAGACUGUUGGAUUGUCAACAUAAAUUGGUUGGCGAUAUGAUUUAAUUUCUCGUAGUAUCAACCCAAAUCUUUUUGAAAGUUUAUUAAGAAAAAACAAUAAUAAAUUAAUUUGAUUCUAGUUUUAUGAUGGAAACUACUGAAAAUUUGAUUUGGUAACUUUUCUCGUCGAAGAUAUUUAUACAUAAAUAAAAAUAUACAUAUUUAUAGUCUAGGGGUGUUCAAUCCGGAUAUCAGUUCGGUUUCGGUUCGGUUUUUUUCGGUUUUCGGUAUUUCGGUUAGUAAAAUAUAACUACCAUUCUAAAUCCAUAUUUACUUUGGUUCGGUUUGGUUUAUAUACCGUCGGUUUUCGGUUUAUUCGGUUUUAUACCAAAAAACAUAAUUAUUUUGUUAGAGAUCAUAUUAUAUGAAUUUUAGAGUCAUAUUGUCAACACAUUAAUUUAUUAAAAAUAAAUUACAUGUUCAAAUAACUGAACAAAAAAGUAAAAAUGCUUCUACCAUAAAAUAAAAUAAUCAAAUCUAUAACUAAAAGCAAAGCUUAAAAUUUUGAAAAUAAAAAUAUGAAACAGAACCGAAACAUGAAAUAAAGUUUUUCCACUCUUCCAUAUUUAGUGUUCAUUAAAGUCAUGCUUUUUCAAUUAAAAAUUUUCUAUUAAUUAUUUUUCAUCAAAUUUAUAAUCUUCAUAUUAAUUUAGUGAAGACUAAAAUAAAUCAAAAGAUCAAAAAAAGACUUAGAAAAUAAUAUGUAUGAAUUGCGAUGUAAUGUUAUUAAGUUAUAGUUCAAAUGUUUUACAAAUUAUGGUUUUUUAUUACUAUAAAAUUAUGGUAAUAGUUAUUAACACAAAUUUAACUUAUGUAACAAAUAGAUUUUUAUGUAUUGUUAUAAAAUAGAUAUAUAUUUACAUGUUUCUACUUUUAAUCGGUUUUGUUCGGUUUAUUCGGUUUAAUCGGUUAUAUACCAAACCAUAUUCAAAUCCUACGGUUUUUAUAAAAUUAUAUCCAUUCGGUUUAUAUGGUACAUACCAAAACCAAACCAUAUUGUCUAUUUCGGUUCGGUUCGGUUCGGUACGGUACGGUUCGGUUUUACCAUAUUGAACGGCCCUAAUUUAUACAUAAAACUUAGAGGGUUUUCUAUAUGUUUUUCAUGGAAUGGUCAUAGAAAAUUCAAUCACACAACAUACAAAUAUAUGUUAUUGAUAUGAAUACAUGAGACAGAGAAAAAGGGAAGAACAAUUAUAUCGAUUCCACUCUUUGCUGUGAAUAGAGCUCUCUUAGGCCAGCUUUCAACCACCAACACAAGUCUGAAAUUAGAUAAACUAUUAGUAAACUACUUCUUAAUUAGCUAGUUGAAAUAUCUUAGAGGUUUUGUGUUAGAAAUAAAACUUGACUUAAUUUGCUAGUGCAUGUGGCGCAUGUGCACCACUUCAUCAGUGAGAUAGUAUCAUAAUAGUAAGUGGCUUUCUUCAAACAAAUCCACAAUAGUUUUAUACACACCAUGAAGGAUAGAGAAAUACUAUCAAUAGUAAUGCCAUUGUUAUUAAUUCACAUCGUGCAUUUUUAAACUAAGCAUAACUUUUGACUGUGUGUUUGAUUAAAAUAAUAGCCAUACUAACCGUAGAUUAUAGAUAUAUAUACACAGGUAGGUUCGACCAUAACUAAUGUUUAGAUGUAACGUUACAAACUUACAACUUACGUGACUCUAGGGACCUACGGUUACACACUAGGCUUUUUUUUUUAAAGUACGUCGGAGGUCGGUCCAUGGCAACCUCAGAAAGUGAUAUAUUUCUCCGACCAAAGAAAACAAAUAAAACACGCACAAAAGCAUUGAUCCAAAAAAAAACACGCACAAAAGCUAUUAAGAAAACUAAAAGAAAAGAUGAGAUAAAAAUAACAGUGUCUUAAGAUAUUUUGAUCAAUCAUUUUCAGAGAUAUUUUAGACCCUUGUUUUUUCUAGAUAAAUAACUUUCUCUGUUUCUUUCGUCUUUUCUCUACGGAAAACCAACCUCGUGACGAACAUUGUUGUCAGCUUAAUUUUAUUUGUCAGUCUGUUUUAUUUUCAACCUCUUUCACGCUUAUCAGUUUCAUUCUGAUUGUUUGAAUUCACUGCUGUUAAAAGAGACUUUGGAACUCGUUAAGCAAAUUUGUAAUGUAGUUUAAACAAACAAAAAACAAUUGUUAUGUGGGAUUAGUUUAUUAUUGCAUGUAGUAAGACUCUUUUUAAUAAAGAGAAAAGCUCAACUUCUAGUAUUUACAUGAAAUAUAUAUUAACAGUUAGACAUGGAGAUACAGAAUGACACAGAUUAAUAGCAUAGGUUAUAAAAGAUACAGUUGAAGUUCUUUUAAUUUAUGUACGGAGAAACUAGGCUUUACUUUUCCUUUAUCUUUUCCAUAAAAUUAUCCAUAAAAUUAUAUUUUUGUUUGCUUUUAGUACCACUUCUUCUAUACACAUUUGACUAAUAAAUAAAAAUCGCAAAUAUUUUGGACUCAUUAGAUGAUGUGGGUCUUUUUAAAGCACAUGCCGAUGAGUACUAACUGUUGUUUUGGCGUUUUGGACGCUGGACCUCAUCUACUCUUUCAAAUCCAAUGUAGUAAGUUUUUGUUAGCUACGUUUAUUUUUUUAAAGAAAAUGUUAUAUUUUGAUAUAAAUGUGUCUUCAUUGCAUGCAUUAUAUUGGUAUCCUCUGAGUGAUUUAUAUUAAUCAACCCUCCUGGAAACAUGGAUUUGAUACUGACCACCAAAAAGAACAAACAUAAGAACUAACUGUAUCACGCGUUAUGUUUGAUUCCGAAGGUCAAAUGACGAAUGGGAAGAUACGUGUGAGAAUUUAGACGAAGUUUGCUUGUAGUCUAGUAGUCGAUGUCUCAAACAAGUUAUAAAAGCAAAUAAACAUUUUUCGUCUUUAAUAAAAAAAACAUUUUCGUCUUACUUUUUAGAAGUUGUUUUUCUUACAAUACAAAUAAAAUUAAAAUAUAUAUUGAUAAUGCUUUUUGUUAAUUGAUAAUUCCUCAAUACAAUAGAGAAUUACCGCUCAUUUGUAAUGACAAAGACUAAAGAUAUUCAUGUUUUAAUUAAUCUGAAUGUCUAAUAAAUUAUGAAAUUAAAAUGCGAGGCUACGAAGAGGUAAACAAACUAAGCUUUGAUUGAUAUCAUGGGGCUUUAUGUCGACGUACGGUGAUGUAACCCCCACACGUUUCUAACACAUUCAUAAACCUAAAUUCACUAGCUUAUUUCUCUAUCGAAUUAAGUUAACAUAACUUCUGUUGAAUUGAUACGCGCAAUAAGCAAAGAUGUAGUGUAACUUGUAAGGAUGUCCAGAGGUGGAGUCUAUGGACUUCAUAUCCAAAAUUGGUUCACAUAAACUAUAUGGCAGUCUCUAUGGUAUCUACCAAUGUGUCUAUGCAUUAAAGAAAGAUUUGUAUUGUUUUGGUAGGUACAAAUACAACUAACUUUUGAAUUUAUAUGUAUGUGCAUAUAUAUAUAAAAUAGACAUAUAUACCCUUGUUUGUAACACACACAUAAUGACAAACCACUAAAAAUAUCUAUAUUUCAAAUGACUCAAUCUUGUUGAUGAUAAGAUUAUGAGUUCAGUGGUUCUUGUUGUUUCAUUUAUUUUCUUUCCUUCAAUCUUGAUUCAGUUUCUACUUUAUCGAGUAAAUUAACAAGAACGAAAGCACUAGGGCACUAUAUAGACAUGAUUUGUUAACAAUUUUGUAAGCGACAAAAUUAAUAUCGUGCAAUAUAUAUUCUAUAUUAUCAACAUAAAAGAGUUAAAAUCCCAUACAUUUGGUUGGAAACGAGAAAUAUCGUGGAAGUUAGGUGAUGGGAAAAGUUAGAGCGCUUCAAUUAAUUGUCACAAAUUAUAAUAGUUCUAUGGACGUUAAGAUAAACUCUGUUUUAACACAUAAACUAGAUUUUGACCCGCGCUUUCAAAGCGCGGGUUUAUUUUUGUUUUUUUCUUCAAUUGAUAAAUAUUUAGUAAAUGUCACAUUUUCAUAUAUUUGUGUUUUAUUUUAUAAAAGACUUAAAAAUUUUAUCUUUAUUUAUCGUAUUUCAUUUUAAAUGACUAUUUAUGUUAAAAAAAUUAAACUUUAUUUUUUUAAUGAAUUAAGUUGAUAUAACUCUGAUAAAUUAAUUUUAUUGUGGGGUUAAUAUUUUAAUUAAAAAUUAUAUACUUUUAAUAAAGAUUUAUACUUUUCAAUAAAAAAAUUCAAUUAUUUUUAUGAAUGCUUAAAUUAUAUUAAGAAAAGAAAAAAAUAAUAAUUAAGAAUAGUUGAAAAAAAAUUAUUUGAACUUGGACUCAAUGGCCCAAAGAAAAAAAAAAGUGAGAAUUGAAUCUGAUUUUUUAAUAGGUCCAAAUGGCCCAAGAGAGAUUUGAUUUGGGCUGGAUCCAAAAAUAAUGACCCAAUAUAGAUUUGUUAUUAAUAUUACUUAAUUACCCUUAAUGAAACAUGUAAUGUUAGUGAAGGAAACAUGCCCCUAAGGUAAUUAUGACAAUAGGAUCCUGCUUUAAUAGUAUAGAUCAAACCAUCAUGUUUCUUCCAGCUUUAAGUAAGAAAAGGAGAUCAGUGGGGGUAAAAUCGAAAUAGAUCAAAUCCCAAGGAUCAAGAAAGAAAAGAGCAGUAAGAGGAAGGAAAAAGCUUUAUUGGUUGGGGUUGACAAGACAUGAAGCAGAUUGAAAACAUCUGCUUUGGUCCGAAAAAGAGGGAAGUUAGAUUCCCUGAACUGCACCUACAUUGGUCUACAGACACACACAUUCAUGUAUAUACUGUUAUGUAAUAAUCAUAACCCAUUCAUGUUUUUUAAUAUGACUGAUCUCUGUUUUCCUCCAUCAUAGACUUUCACUUUUGUCCCCUUCAUCAUGGUACAACAUCCUCAGUAACUUGAUUUACUUUAUAUAUAUACAAUAAUGCACAUUCGCGUUUAGGUCAUAAGAUGUUUGUUACAGGCUGGUUUGCAAAAUUGUUUAGAUUUCAAAAAAAAAAAAAUUUGUUUAGAUUUAAUACUGAACCAAAUGAACCGGCAAUCUUUCUGGCUGAUCAGAACAUUUUUAUUAAUAUUCUUAUGAGAAAAAGAAAAUUCAACUUUUGCUUUUUAGGUUACUUGUUUACAGUUGCACAAAAAAAAAAGGUUACUUGUUUACCUGUUUACCCGAUGUCCCUCAUGAGCGGUUUACUCACAGUUCAAAUAUUCUCUGCACUUUUCUUUAUACCAGUCUCUUGCAACUUUGCUUUUUUUUGUCGAUGGCAAUCUUAAACCAUUUACACCGAAAGAUUUUCUUUUAAUGUAUAAAACGAAAAGAAGAAUAAAUGGACAUUAAUUCGUUGAGUGGUGCACAAAGUUCAAGUGUUUUGUGUCUAUGUUCGACAAGACAUUGACUAUAACGCAUUUUCAAACAUGUCAACAAAACUUUAAUUCAAAAAUAUCUAACUGUAAGAAACUUUCUAAACGGUCGAAAUGCAUAUAACACGCAGUUUAUGUCUCUAUACAUAGCAAGUUAGCAACCUAACUAAACCAAACUGAGCUAUACAAAGAAAGCUAUCGUUUCUUAAUCAACUUAAUUCACGAGUAAACUACAUUGUUAAUGAUGAUCAAUUUAUUUAAAGCAUGUCCUCUUAUUAACCAGCUCGAGUUUCUAACUUAUGUUACAAUUCUAGGAUUAUGGCCACGAUUACAGUGGCCUUAGCCAGUGAGCUAAAUCAUAUUAAUUUUGAUGGGAUUCAGCAUUUGACUCUGUUGUUGUAUCUAUCUCCUUUUUCUUGCCGAGUCUAUCCGAGUAUCAAGCAAAAACCAAUUAGGAUCUGGGUUUUGGGCUAGUUAGCUUUAUUGGGUCUUAGUCGUACGAGCUCAAAUCCCAGUAGAUGGUACACUAGAAAUAAUGUUUAUGGGGCUAUUCAAAUAUUGUCUCGUUCAGUCACAUGAUAUACGUGAACAGUCUUGUAUGAACUCUAAUAGUUAUAUACUCUUAAGCCUCGCAAAUGGUCCACUUAACCAUAAUUAAAAAGAUCUUUGACAAGUCCAGUCGUCACAGCGUGCAAACAUUAACUGUUUUUGUUUGUCGUCGAUAAACAUAAUUUGGGCGGUUCUAAUGUAUGCAUUUGUUGCGCAUAAGCACAUGUGAAAAAUAGCAUUGUGCAUUAACAACGAAUAUUUAAUUAUGUCCUUCUGUAUUAACAUUGACUAAUGAUUAUUCAGACGCCAUGAGAGUCCGUGAUCUGACCGGAGGCCUAGUGGCGGUCAAUAAUUUUCCAUAUAAUAUCAAAAAAAAAUUUGAAGUUAACUGUAAUAAUAUAUUCUUCUCAAGAAGACAAUUAUUCGAAUUCGUACAAAAUAAUGAUCAAACUCAUAUAACGUUUUGUUAGCUCAUGUAGACUUUUGUAUAACUGUCAAGUAAACUCUGGCUAUAAACCAUUCAAAUAGUUCAUGUCUAUCUCCUUGAGUACUACUUUUCUGUACAUGAAAGUGAGUAUAUAACUGUUUUUUUUUUGAGCAACUGUGAGUAUAUAACUAUAUUUCGUCUGAUAAAAACCAGAAAAAAUAGAAAAACUAUAUUCCAUUCUCUUAUUUAUCAUGCAGAGAGCUAUUUUUUGUAGUCGAAUAAAACCUUUUUAUAUUUCAAGAACCCAGAGACCUACCUGCACCACACCGCACCUCACCUCACCUCGCAUCACCACUAUCUGUUGUUUAUUGUUAUCUACCUGUUUUAAAAGCUUUUUAUAAAGUAGAUCUCUUAUCUGGAUUUGACUUUGAUUAAUAUGUACGUUUCAGAAACUCAAGAAUACAAAAUUAACAAUUUAAAAAAUAAAGGAAAAUGUAUUGCGUGUUUAUAAACAAUCCCAUACAAAACAAAAAUGAAAAAGAUAAGAAAAAUGUAGGUACAGCUACAAAAGAAAAGUCAACUAAACCGGUAAUCUCAUCGAACCGCUAGUUGAGCCACCUGUACCGGGCGGUUUAACCGAAGUUCCUUCGCCGUCCUUAUUGACUCCUCCCUUAUGUACCGAAGAGUUCCUCCACAACAACGACCCGUUUCUAAGAAAAGCCCACCGGUCCGACCGUGUGGACUCACCGGUUGAAUUCGACACAUUGGCUCGAAUACUACGGGUAGAACCUAGCCUAAUCGAACCAUCAUCACGGCUCCUCCACAUAAACGACGGCGUUUUACGGAACAACCAACGAUCAGACCGAGCCCUUGAUGGUUUACCUCUCCUUGAACUUCCUCCCCUAGGAAGAGCCACAAGACUACCAGACCGGUUUAGUCUCCAAUUCUCCAUCACCCUCUUCCUCACAUCUUCCGGUAACCGGAGAGUAAACCGCUCGGUACAUUCUCCCGGUUGAACCACCGAGUGCCCGGUCGUAUGCGAUCUCGAGAACUUCACUCGUUUGAUAUCCACCGGUACUCCAGGUAGUCUCCUCGAAUCGACUUCAGUUAUAACCGAUUGUUCCGGUACAGGAGAAUCAACCACCGGUUCGGGAUUCACCGCCACCUCCUGUAAUUCAACAUCCGGUUCGACCGGUUCUCCCUCAGAGAGAUUAGCCCUGCAAACAGGGCAAGUAACGUGAGCCUCAAGCCACGCGUCUAUGCAGUGAGGGUGAAAGACAUGAUCACAUUUAGGCAGCAAACGCAGCGUUUCAUCGUCUUCGAACUCGUUCAGACAGAUCGCACACUCAAGCUCCCCUUUCCCGAGCUUCUGAGUCUUCACCUCCGAGUACACGAACGUCGGGAAAGUCUCCAACACCGAAACGUCGAGUCCACGCGCCGCUGCGGUGACGGUUCCUCUGGAUCUAACCCCACCAGCAGCAGCAGGGGAGGCGCCGGGGUCGACUAGGCCGGAGCAGGAGCGGAAGUAGAUGGAGAAGAAGCCCAUAAAGAAGAGAGCAGCGACGAGGAUCACGACGAUCACCGCCAAGGCGGGACUCACCCUGCCGUAGUUGUUAUACAUUUCAUUUCUAUUAGCAGGCGGCGGCGGUCCUUGGCCCGCCGCGAGCUCCGCCGCUGAUAGUAUUAGCAAGAAAACAAUCGGCAAAACGCCGGAAAAAGUCAAGGGGUCAGAUCUUCUCAUGCUUCUUCGUGUGUGUGUGUUUUGCCUCUUCGAUGAGAUGAAAGUGAGUUUUAAUGUUAGAGCGUUCUUGCAGUGACGUCAGCAAAUGUGUCAGUUCUGACUUCCACGUGGCAAUACAAGCUUCGUUCAAUCGAUAAACAUAUUUUUCAACGGAAUCAAGAUCAUGCAUCGUUUUCAUAUUACAGUUUACAAUUUAACCUUUAUAUAUCUAAUUAUUUCAGACAUCACAUAACGAGAAGGGUUGACUCUGACUAUGUCUUCGAUAAUAUUUCAGACAGCUUUUGUACUUGUGUUUUAUUGUUCAACAACUAUGCUAAAUAGCCUAAAUUUCGUUACAUUGUAUGCGGCAUAAUAAAUGUCCAUGACUUCCUAAACUUACAUAAUAUAGGGGUUGCAUAAUAUAAAUCUGAUGCGUAGACACCAUGCUGAUAUAUUGCAUUGAAGUCUAAAAUUUAACAAAAUUAAUGAUUGAGCUAAAAUAUCAUUUAUUCGAGAUUAGAAAAAACAAACAUGGCCUUUGAUUCAGUUUAUCUCGUGAAUCCUUCACAUGAAUGAAUCAUGAACUCUUUAAUAAUUUCCAUAAAUGAAAUGGCAAAAGAUCUAAUCUCGAGAUUGUGUGUAGUCUCGAUACGUGGUCGCUUUUAUUUAUUAAUGGUCAUACUUUUCAGUUCUCACGUUGGGUCAAACAAAGAACGCUGAAUUAAAUAUAAUUUGACCGAGUAGUGCCUUUCUAGAAGUUAAAGCCAAGACGCACUUCUUUAUUACCACCACUCUUUUUUGGUAUCUCAGGCUGCUUGGUAUGUGGGUAUUAGCACACCUGAAUCCUCUGUCAGGUUUUUGUAAGCGUUUUGGAGUGUUCUUGUUACCGGUCCAACUUUUCCUUCACCAAUCACACGUCCAUCGAUUUGCACAACCUGUGUAACAAAAGAGCUUAUUAUUGUCUUAUUGUGAUUAGAGAUUAAUUUAUUUGUUAAUGGUUAAGUAAGAUCCCCUGAAGAUUUCAUCAAGAGCCAUGAGUUACUAACUGGAAACUCCCUAUCUACAAAUGUUUUAUGAAAAGAUUGAUGUUUGAAUGUCAAAGAUUCAGGUGCAAAAUGUUAGAGGAUGCUUUAUUUUAGUAAGCUAAUAAAGACUGUACGUACCGGGCUUAGUUCUCCCAUAGUUCCUGUUGUCCAUACCUGAAAAGCAUGCAUUGUUAGAUUUUGUUAGAGGAAGAGACACACACAUAAUGACCUUGACGAAAAUGAUCAUUUGUAAGCUGAAAUGACCUCAUCUGCUGUAUGAAAUUCCGAGAGACUGAUUCUUCGUUCUUUCUAAGAUGAGGUUUUCUUUAACCACAAGUUCCAUAACCUUGAAAUAUUAUAGGAAAAAUGCAAAAAAUGUUUUAUAUCAAGUCUAUUACUGAGAUGUUUCUUAACAAAAGUAUGUGAGUUUUUUUUUUUCCUUACGGUAGCUCUUGUUAUUCCAGGGAGACAGUAAUCUGCAUGGGGAGUCAGAACACGUCCUUUCUUCACCAUAAACUGUAUAGCAUAAAAUAAAUAUGUUAACAACAUGAACUUCUCUGUAAAUUAAAACUCUAUCAAAGUCUUUCUUACAAUGUUGGUUGCAUUGGUUUCAGAUACAAAACCAUCUUUGUCAAGCAUUAUGGCAUCCGCGGCCUUCGCAUUGCUACUUUCAAUCUGUUUUUAUUUUCAAUAUAUAUAAAGAACAUUAAUCUCAUAAAACAAUGUCAAUUCUUGAACUUUCUUGAUUUGAAAAACAAUACCUUUGCUAGUAUGUUAUUGAGAAGGUUGUUAUGAUGAAUCUUGGAGUCCAAGUUCUGAACGAAAGCAAAAAAGAUAAAAAACAGACUUAUUCAUAGUUAUAUCAUGAAGAGAAGUCUUGAGUCAAAUUCAUACAUUAGGCGAGUUGCGGCGUGUGGUUGCAGUCACCAACACAAUCCCACCAUCAUUGUCAUAGACUGGAGGCUUCCAUUCCGCAAGCACUGCAACGAACAAAGUUUAAUUUGCAUGUAAAGUGUAAUCUCAUUAGUCAUUACCAACCUUAGUUGUUAGGAUAAAGAUGAAAGGUUACCAAUAAGAGUACAUCCAUAUCGAUUGAAGGUAGGGCUCAUUCCAGAAGUUACCUUAAACGAACCAGUUGCAUAGUUUUUUAAGACUAAGAAAUGAAAACGUAAGUUUCUUAAAGAAACUUAAAAUAUACUUGAAAUAAACGCAAUACCUUUUUGCCACGAGUGAGAGACAACCUGAUAUGUGUAUUGUCAAACAUACCAUUUGUUAUGAGAGUUCUGAAGAUAGCUUCUUUUAUCUGUAUGGUGUACCAUAAUAAAGCUAUGGUGGUAACAAUAUUGUUUCAACAGAACAAUGGUCGUAACAUUCAAGAUGCUUUACCUCUUCACGAGAUGGAACAUUGUCGAAAGCCAGAGCCUUAACUGAAUCAAACAUUCUAAUCAAACAUUUCAACAUAUAAAAUAACAUUGCUUAGAAAAACUCUUUUACUUGCUUCUUAGUUUCUUAAGCAUUUUGAAUGUUGUUAUUACCGAUCAAGAUGUUCUUCAAGCUUGAAUAUCUUUCCCUUGUAAAUCCUGAGUCCUUCCCAUACUGAGUCACCACCUUGGACAACCGAGUCAAAAACUGAAACCUAAAGAAUAAGAAGAGGAAGUAUAGCACAAUCAGCUUUUAAAAUGAAAAUCACAAAACAGCAACUCGUUAAUAUUUUCUUCAGCAUAUAAAGCACACCUUUGCCAUCUCACGAGGUAAGAUCUCGUCACCAACCCAUGCAAGAAGUUUGGCGUUUUCAGGAACCGGGAGACUAGGAGGAGGCAAGGGACAACUCAAGAGUGAGGACUUGUGCUUCACGUGGCUCCUAAGAAUGUUGUAAAGUGGUAGACUUUGCUCCAGCAAAUCGUAAUGUGACAAAGGGAAUAUCUGUGAAAACAAAACACACCUUAAACUGAAUUCAAAACCAUAACCGAAACAAACCAGAGACUUACACGUGGAUACUUCUUUGGAGAUGAGAAACCUGUUGACUCAUGCACACUCUUGUACCACCAUGGUGCCCAUACUCCAUCUUCUGGUAUAGGACCAGCCUCCCAUCUAAACAAAACACAACAAACCAUAUAGUUAUUACAAUCUUAACAUUUAUAAAAACAAAAGAGAAUGCAAUAAGAGGACUUACUUAAGCAUAGAGGCCUGAAAUGGAAUCUCCAAAUCAUCGCAAAGACCGCGUAACGUGUUCUGUAUAUGUAUGAAUGUCAAAACAUGCAAGGACUAGAGGUUAAGAGACAUAGACAUAUUACAGAAACAAAACCUCAGGAUCUCGUUGAAGCUCAUCAGCAUCGAUGACUGGUGGUGGUGUUCCCAUCUGACAAAGAUCACUGUAUAUCGACACUAGUUCCCCCAAGCCUAGUUCAAGAAACGAUGGAGGUUGUACCUUCUCAAAGGAAGGCUGAAAACAUAGAAGAACAGUAGAUGAAACAUUGACUAAAAAGCUGAGAUCUAAUAAAAGAACCUUUAGUGAGAAAGCUAACCAGUAUGUUAAGUGGAUUUCUUAUUAAUAUGAAGUGUUUUCCUUUACUCAUUAGUUCAGUUGGUAAACCGAAAAGCCGUUGUUUCGAGAUAUGCUGUUCAAAUGAAACACAAGAACGCACUAUCUUAGCAAGAAACAACAAAGAAAGCUCUUUAAUAGCACGGUUUUUGAAGCUUCCAAGAAAACAAUCAGCGUUUCACCUUACAGUACCGGUACUUCUUUGAUCCAGAUCCAUAAAUGGUAUCUUUCACUACCUUAUGUCCAUUGUACUCCUAUGGAAAACAAGAGACGAAGAAUUAAAAUUUGUUUUAUUUCUAAAGCAAGACUAAGUAUGACCUAAAGUCCUAACCAGUUACUAACUUACUAUUUAUAGUAAACAUACCAUCAUAGAGAGAACCUCGUCUCUGUAUGGCCUAUCAACACGUAGCUUUGAGAAAUGCUGCAUACAAGGGCUCGUCGACAACUUCAGUGUCAUCUCUCUGAAAAAAAUUGGACAUAAAAUCAAUGUCUGAAAACUUUACUCCUAUUGUGGAUGCAAGUAAGGUUUUGAGCUAAGACCUAAAAGGAGAGUGGUACCUGUGCAAAGGAGUACAUGAGGCUGGUGCUGAGUGACCUUGGGGCAGACCAUGAGUGAAUCACUUCAGGUUCUGUCAUUGAGGACGAUGAUGAAACCAAAGGGAACUCUAAACUGUGGUCUUUUUGAUCACUUUUGUUAUAUCACCACUCUUGAGUAAAGUGCAUGAGUGUUUGUGGACCUGUAAGAGUCUUGACAUAACAAGAAUCUACCCCUCUAAAGAAAGAAAAGGACAAGAAUUUGGAUAGCAACUUGCACGCAUAUCAAGUCUCUGUUUGCUUGGAAGUUAGUAAUCCCUAGAAAGAAAAGAUACCAAAACCACUAUAAAAAAUACUUUACUUUAAAUGGAAUAAGUCCGGUUUGUAGUACCUUGAACAUCAACACACUUAGAGGAAUUGAAACAGAGAGGGCUUGAGAGAAAACUCUGGGGAUCCGGCGGUCGGUCGGCGCGUGAGCGUCUGUGCCGCCGCCGGAGUCCUUUCUUCUUCCAGAAUAAAUCGCCAGUCCCUGUUUCCUCCUAUCCUUUUCCGGUUUCUGCAGUUCGGAGCUCUGGUCAGCCAUCAACCGCCGGGGUUGUGGUUCUGGAGUCACGAUGCGUUGGUGGGAAGGAUGGGGGGGUUUAGUUGUGCGUUCUUUGUUUCUGGGAGACGGAGGCUCUCACAGAUCCGUCGCCGCCGGCUCUUGCAUCCGUGGCGGGGAAGCUUCCUCAGUUCCGCCGUCGUCGGCUCUAGUCCCCGGGGGGUGAAGGCUAUCACAGUUUCGCGUCACCGGAUCUCGUCCCCUAGUUUUUUAGGGUUUGGUCUUUUUAGUUUAAGUUUUUCUCAUCGCUUAGUCUUAGGGUUUGUUUUUGUGCUCGCGUCGUAGGAGAGAGGAGCUCUCCGGUGAAACGGUUAUGUUGCAUGCGAUAUUUUCUUUGGGUGGUUGUCGUGAAUGGUGGUGGAGGUGAUCUCGCCAUGGCGAUCGAUCCCUUCCGGUUUUAGAGGCCCAAAGACGCUUGCGGUGAGGUAUGGUGGAGCUGCAGAGCUCCGGUUUGGUCGAGAGAUCCGAAGGAUGGAUCUCCGGCGAAGUUGAGAGGUGGUGGAAAUGAGACGCCCGUGUGACACGUGCCCCCUCGUCGUCGAGGAUGGCAACACGUGUCUUUGUAUCGAAACAGCUGAAACUCGAGGCGGCUGCUCUCUCGCCAGUUUGGGAUUAGGGUUACUCAAGUUGGGCUGGUGGGUUUUGGGCCCAUUUGGGAAUCGAGUUUGGGUUUCGCUAUGGGCUUUUAUUGUAAUUUUUUUGGGCUCGGUCCGUUUUCAUUAAUAUUAAAAAAAAACAUAUUGACGGGAAAAAAAAAAUGGAAUAAGUCCUGAAAAUUAAUGUUCAGUAUUUCAAUUUAGUAACUUUGUUCUAUAGUCAUGCGUGUUUCGUCGUCUUCACACUCUUUAUAUUGUUUUCAGUCAAUUUUAUAUCUAGUAGUAUUGAUAAUUAACAGUUCCAACCCUUCAUAUUAUUUUCAGUCAAUUAAAUAUCUUGUAAUAUCGACCAAGUCAUCUCUAAGUCUAGCCAAAAAAAUAAAACAAGAGAGUGUCACGAGAGGAACACAAUCAUAUUGUUUCUUUCCAUAUUUCCAAGCAAACUCUGUUCUAGUUUCGUUAAACUAUACACAGUACCAGUGUCGGGCUUACCUCUAGAGAUCUAAGACAAAACUGAAAAAUCCUUUAUCACAAUCAUUAUAUUAAAUUAGAAUUGUGCAAAUAAUGAUAAAUAAAUGUGAAUUACUUUAUACAACCUGAAUAUGAAUAUCAAGUAGUGUUACUAGAUAUAACUUUUUUUUUCCUUGACGACUAUAUGAUUAACUAGAUCAAUGAAGUAUUAAACUUAAAGACUCAGUAAAGACAUAACUAACUUCAGUUUAUAAGAUCAAAGAUGAGAGAUUUUGUUGUGCUUAAAAUUGGGCCUUUUUAUGUAGGGGAAGCAAUUGGUCAACCCGGCCUUAUUUGGAUUCGGUAAGCAAACAAAGUUACCUGAGAGGCUGCAAUUUUGCAGUGGCUGGAUCAACGAUUCAGAAAAAAAAUGCUGCACCCAUUAGCCUUUUUGGUUUUGGUGUUCCAGUCUCUCAUUUGAUCACCUUCAAUCCAAAGUUGUUUGAAUCGUAUAUAGUAAUGUACCAGUGUUUUUAAUUGUUUUUCAGAUGAAGCGAUACUUACCUACGGAAUAUUUUUUUUUAAAUGGAUUGUUUAUGUUUGAUGUCGGACAAAAUGAACUUGCCGGUGCAUUUUUCAACAAGACACUAGAUCUAGCUUUUGGUAACAUUCCUAAAAUCCAGAUAAAUUUCAAGAUGGAAUAAAGGUCAGUAUUCACAUGGUGAGUUUAAUAGUCGCAUGCACAGUAAUCUCACAUCAAAUUUACGAUAAAUCAGUUUUAUAAGAACGAUAGAGUACACACAAUUGGUGGUUCACGAAAUCUGACCAACUUUUCUUACAUCUUUGAACCCGCUAUAGAGAAAUUUGACAACACUCUUCAUCCACAUUCAAACCUAAUUAUACUUAAAAAUUAUAUUUAGUAUGUUCAUCAUUUUUUUUGUUUCUUAUGUUUAAUAAUAUAUAUUGUUUUACCUAAAAGCAUGUAGAUUAAAAUAAUUAUUAAUCUUUGACACAAAAAUAAUUAUUAAUCUUUUAGGAUAUAAACGAAAUCUAAUUUGACCAAUUAUAAAAACCCAACAAAUUAUAAUUGGUUACAUUACACAAUAUUCAAAAAGAUAAAAUUACACUGAUAGAUAGAAAUAUGAAAAUAAUCUAUAUUUUGAAGCCAAAGUACAUAUAGCUAUAUGAAACUUGUCUGAAAUUAUUUUUGAGUAACACUAUUAUCUAUUUAUAAAAGAAAUAAUAGGUCGUUAAGUAACAACUUUUAACAAAAAUGAAGCCUCGUUUUCUGACUUUUGUUCGACUCUUCAAUCUUCACCUACCCAAAACAUGGUCUUUGAUUAACAUAAUUACACAAUUAUAUCGAUGAUUGACAAAAUGACAGAAUUAUAUCGAUGAUUAACACAAUGACACAACGAUAUGGAUGUGAAUUCCGUAAAACCCCAAAAAGAUAAAAUAAAAAAGUGUUACGGGAGGAACACGAUCAUAUUCUUUAUUUCCAUAUUAAAAAAAAAAACUCCAUUCUAUUUUCAUUAAACUAUACAUUGUACACACAUACACAUUUCUUAUGUAUACAUACAAAUGCAUAUGUAUAUAUUUGUAUGUGCAUAUAUAAAUAUAAGCAAUAAUGAGAAGAUGAAAGUAUACUAAGCAUUUGACCAAGAAAAGGAAAAAUAUACUAAGCAAUGGAAACCGUUUUUCACUCUCUUCUCAUAUUGUUAUCAUUUGUAGCCAUCUCUCAUACUCAGCCUCUUCUGGCCGGUUCUUUUCCAAUUUCUCCUAAUUUUGCGGCAGUUUUCAACUUCGGAGACUCUAACUCUGACACCGGAGAACUCACCUCUGGUCUUGGUUUCCGUCUCCCACCUCCCAAUGGACAAUCCUUCGUCUUUAAACCUCCAUCUACUGGAAGAUUCUGUGAUGGACGUCUCAUCGUCGAUUUUCUAAGUAAUUCUUCAUUCCUAAAUCCUAACCUUUUCCUUUAUUUACUUUUUUGUACAAACAACUUUUUAACGUAUAAUUAUGUACCACGACAGUUUUGGUGUGGUGUUGUUAUGGUUAUCCACACCAAAAUAGUCCACCAAAAACAUGACUUUCUAGACUCCGCAAUAUUUUCUUUGUGGUAGAUUAAUUUCCUGCAUGUUUUCUUGCUAAACGUGUUGCAUGCACCAUACCAAACUAGUCCACUAAAAACAUGACUUUCUAGACUCCGCAAUAUUUUCUUUGUGGUAAAAUUAAUUUUUACAAGACGAAAUUAUUUGAUCUUUUCUAAUGCGGCUUUCACGCUCACGUUAUUCACAGUGUAGUUAUUAAAUUCAUAUGAACCGUAAGACCCCAAACACCUUCGCUUAAAGGAAAAAUAAGAGUUGAUUUAGUGUUCUUAAAUCAGUUAUGACAUUUAUAUUGCGUAUGUCAUUUGAAACAUUUUUUUCUCUCUAGGAUAAGUCGUUUUGCUCAAUAGAAAAUAAAUACCCUUGUUAAUUGUUAUUGUCAGUAGUUUUUAUGAAAUGAUGUUUUUUUUUGUUAUUUCCUUUUUUGGACGACAGUUAUUUUUUAUUUUAUUUUUUUUGACGACAGUUAUUUCCUAGUUUAUACUUUAUAUUAAUGUUGUGCAAAAAAAUACUUAUUAUGCCAAAAGAAAAUACUUUAUAUUAAUAAAUUUGGAAAGACUGGUCUAGUUGAAGAACCAGUGGUACAAAGAAAAACCAGAUUUUUCUUCUUCUUAUAAACUAUAAAUUUAAAGACUAAAGACAUAACUUACUCUUGUUUAUAAGAUCAAAGCUAAGAGGUUUUUGUUGUUAUGAAAGUAAUGACUUAUGAGAAGUUUCUAAUUAAAAAACGUGCUUUAUGAUGUGACUCUUAUGUAGUGGAAGCAAUUGGUCGACCCUACUUGAGACCUUAUUUGGAUUCAGUUAGCACACAAAGCUACCUGAGAGGCUGCAAUUUUGCUGCUGGUGGAUCAACGAUUCAGAAGGCAAAUGCUGCAUCAUUUAGCCCUUUUAGUUUUGCUGUUCAAGUCUCUCAAUUCGUCACCUUCAAAUUUAAAGUUCUUCAAUUAAUACAACAAGGUAACUAUAAUAAUAAUCCUCAACAUUAUAUAAACUUGUCUGGUUCAUAUAGACAUAUGUUUAUUCAGCUGUACCAACAUAUUUUUUUUUCAGAUAAAACUCUCGAAAACUUACCGUCGGAAGAUCAUUUCAAAAAUGGAUUGUACAUGUUUGAUAUCGGACAAAAUGAUAUAGCCGGUGCAAUUUACGGCAAGACAGUAGAUCAAGCUGCUGCUGUCAUUCCUACAAUCAUAAAAACAUUUCAAGAUGGAAUAAAUGUCAGUAUUUACAUGAUGAGUCUUUAUUAUCAUUGUUGUAAAAAAGUUGCUCUUCUCUAAUAAUUUUUAUUUCUUUUCUAGAGACUCUAUUGGGAAGGGGGUGCGAGGAACUUUUGGAUACACAACACAGGACCAAUUGGGUGUUUAGCUCAGAUGGUGUCAAUAUUUGGGAAAGAGAAAUCAAAAGUUGAUGAGUUUGGUUGUGUCAUUGGCCAUAACGAAGCUGCUAAGCUCUUCAAUUUACAGCUUCAGGGUCUUGUCAGAAAUUUUACUCAACAAUAUCGUGAUGCUAAUUUCACGUACCUCGAUAUCUUCUCGAUCAAAUCCGACCUCAUCCAGAAUCAUUCCAAAUAUGGUAUGUAUUCUAAACUGAACAUAAGGCUGGUAUGUCCCAAAAUUUUGGGAACAAAACAAUUUAAUAGAAAAAUUUAAAAUAAACUGAUAAUGUAUAUUAACUCUUAAAAAUAUAGGGUUAAACCAAUGUUUCACUUAUGCUAAGAAUCGACUAUGUAUAUACCUAACAUUACUUGUAGUUUGUAAAUGAAAACUAUUUUUGGGUAUUGGUAACAGGUUUUGAUCAGUCCAUAAUGGUAUGUUGUGGAACCGGAGGACCGCCACUGAACUACAAUGAUCAGAUUAACUGUGGUUCAACAGGGACAUCAAACGGUACGACAGUAACAUCCAACGCAUGUAAUGAUAGUUCCAAAUAUGUUAACUGGGAUGGAAUUCACUAUACCGAAGCUGCAAACCGGUUUGUUUCACAGAAAAUUCUGUCCGGUACAUAUUCCCAGACGGUGUCGUCUUGAAAUCAGAACCUCUAGUGGGUCUUUUGUUGUUUUUUCAUGUGUGAUAAAAGUUAAAACAGAGCAUUCUCUAAUAACUUUCCUUUCACAACGAUAAAUGCUCUGAUUCAAUAAAAGUUCUCUUGUAAUGUUAUCUUAUAGACCACACACAAGUUUGUACAACACUUACCCACUAACUAUCAGCUGCAUUGUCCAUUGCAUAACUCCUCAUUGUUAUCUUCCGAGUUCGUUAGUAGAUUUAACUUGUCUUCUUCAGUAGCAUCAGUCUCGGAUUCAUGAUCUGAAUCAGCCAUAUGAUCAAAGAAAUCACCAAAGUACCACUUACAAUCUUCUUUCCAUUCGCCUUUAUGAGCAUUAACCCGCCAUUUCUGAUCUGCAAUCAUCUCCGGUGACAAACCCCAUCUCUCUAACUCUUCCUCCGUGUGAUGAAUCGCCAAGCUGUAGUCACCGCCUUGUCCUAACUCCAUAACUCUGAUCUCGCUGUUCCCGGGAUUGUUUAAUGCCUCAAACUGUUCCACGGUCCACUUGAACCAUUUCAUCAGAAACACACGCGAUGUUAACCCAUGAGAAACAAUCACAAAGUUUAGCUCAUGAGUCGGGUUCAUGUGAAGUCUGUUCAUGUCGAUGUCUCUCCAUAGAGACUCAAGAAAGCCUGUAAAGAGGGAAACACAUAAGAGACAAGUUCUUGAAACACUUGCUGUUCAUUCAAAGAGAAAUAAAUGAAAGAACACAAAUUAAAGAGAAGACAAAACAACACAAAUGUAAAUUAUAUAAUAAUUAAUUAUUGUUAUUGUCCUAACGGUUAAUAGUAAAUUCCUCAAAGCAUAUGCAUCUACACAAUCAACAGUGUAGAUUAGUGUUCUAAAAAUCGCUCUAGGCGGCAAAUCGAAACAAAAUGAUUUUUCUUAAACCUUUUUUUGUAUAAUCAAUAAUCUUCUAUAAAGCCUCUAGUUACAGCCUAACAAUUUGGAACAAGCAGGGAAGUGGAAACAUACUGGAGACGCGAUCAAAGACGUCGGCGGCGGAUUCACCCUCCGGGAACCGAUAAAAGAACCGGCCAAACCUCUCUCUAACCUUCUUGGUCGCUCUCAUCCUCUCUUUAACCUGAAAGUUCCCAAAAUCCUGCUCCCUGAUCCGACAUUCCUCUCGAACGCCGAUCACGCGGCGGCGCGAGAACGACCGUCCGAUCUCACGGAGCGUAGAACGCGUCCGAUCGUAAGGGGAGACGUAGAAGCAGACGCGCCACUCCGGCGAAGAAGGAUUGGAGGAGAGCAGGGAGCGGAGACGCGCUCCUGCUUCUUGCGCCUGAAGCAAACCGGAUUCUGUUAGCUGGAUCUUGUGAUCAGGGGUUGUUGUGUAU